Monodelphis domestica (gray short-tailed opossum) is the source of this 67775-nucleotide non-coding RNA. The record is from RefSeq and is a predicted model, not a curated record. NCBI's taxonomy places the organism in Eukaryota, Metazoa, Chordata, Mammalia, Didelphimorphia, Didelphidae.
GCUGCCAAAGAGGCUUGGGAUAGAAGCUCUGGGGAGCCAGGAUGAUUCUUCUCUGAGAAAAAUGGGCAAUACUGGCGCAGGGCUUUGGGCUUCUAGGGGGGAAAUCGGUAAUGUGUUUGUGAUGGCUGUAAAACUAUGGAACCUGGGAAGCACUAAAGGGCUCUCAUCAGAGGGCAGCCACAACUCAACUGUUAAGAAAAAUGGGUACCUUUUGAAUCCUGCACUGGCUGCCUGCAUGGGGCAGGGAAAAGGUUGUGAGAAGGUUUACAGGGAUGUAGCCUGGGGACAGGGGGAGUUACUUUUUUUUUAAAUUAAGUUUAUUUAUUUAAUUAAUUGAUUUAGAAUAUUUUUCCAUGGUUACAUGGUUCAUGUUCUUUCCUUCCCCUCCUCCUACCCCGCUCCCAUAGUCGAUGUGCAGUUCCACUGAGUUUUCCAUAUUAUUGAUGUUUGCACUAGGAUGAUCCUUUAGUCUACAUCCCCAAUCUUUUCCCCAUCGACCCAUGUGAUCAAGCAGUUGAUUUUCUUCUGUGUUUCUAAAAGGGGACUACUUCUGGCCAGAAAAUGUCCAGAACAUUUUUCUUGGACACCCUUUGAUGAUCAGCCUCCACCUGAGGCUUUGAUUGAUAAUCAAAAAAUCCCUUAGUGGGUGUCAGUUGAGGAUAGAUAGAGCACUGCGCUUGGAGUCAGAAAAAGCCAGGUUGAACUCCAAGUACCUCUUGCCUUUCAAUUUCAUCACUUUUUUUCUACUCAAGCAUGCUGGUAAUGAUUAAUGACUAAAAGUCAGCCUUCCUGGCAUCUUUUGAAAAUGAUUACUCCUUUGUUAUUGUAUCCCUAGCACAGCACCUUGCACCUAGUAGGUGCUUAAUGGAGGUUUGGUUAUAAAGUCCUUUUUAGCAUUAAAAUUCUUUGAUUGUGGUUAGAAGUCCAGAGACAAUAGACCUGCAUUUCCCCAAGGCUGACUUAAUCCAUUUCCUCACUUUCUUCUCUGACCAUCUCAGAAAUAGGGAAUGAAAAGGGGGUACAAUACCCUCCCCAAAAGUCAGCUCUGAUGAUAAGACAUGAGUUAGGAGGAAAAUAGAAUGGAAGGGCACUGAGAAAUGCUGAGGGGCCACUGUGAAACUGUUUACUUCCUUGUGAGUAUUGAGGAGGUGAUCCAGAGAAAUAGCAAGUGAAUGUUUUUAUUCUUCCAUGUAGUUCUUAUUUCCCUAGUGCUUAUAGACUGUAUUAGCCUUUAUGCUUAAGCAGCCCAUCUUAUAUUGUCCGGGAUUUCAUAACACUGGAUGGCAUUAUGUUAUUAUCAGUUUUAAUGUGGUCACAAUGUUCAUAACCCACAGUACAUAUAUGGCCACUUAUCAUAAAUUGUACUUGGACUGUUUUUUUAUAAGAACUCUCUCUAUCUUUCUCUCUCUCUCCCUCCUCUCUCUCUGUGUGUGUCUCUCUGUCUCUGUCUCUGUCUCUGUCUCUCUGUCUCUGUCUCUGUCUCUCUCCCUCUUCCCCCCCCUCUCUUUCCCUCCUCUCUCUCUCUCUCUCUCUCUCUCUCUCUCUCUCUCUCUCUCUCUCUCUCUCUGUCUCUCUGUCUCUCUGUCUCUGUCUCUGUCUCUCUCCCUCUUCCCCCCUCUCUCUUUCCCACCUCUCUCUCUCUCUCUCUUUCUCUCUUUCUCUCUUUCUCUCUCUCUCUCUCUCUGUCUCUCUAUAUCUCUCUGUCUCUCUGUCUGUCUCUCUCUGUCUCUCUCUCAGCAUCUGCAUUGGUAAGGGCUUUUAGGAUUUCUUUAAUGCCAUCAUGCAAAGGGCACACAUUCUAAAUUGUUGUCAUUUUCUGCCUUUAUGCAAUUUUUCCCAUUCCUAAGAGCUUUGUUACCUAAAUGUGAAGAAUAUAGCUAUUCAGAUAGCCAAGUCACAGGGAAUCUCAGUGAUACCCAGAGUCUUGUUAGGAGGGCAUUACUUCUUGCCCUUGGUAGGUAACAGAUUGCGAUUGUGGCUCGUACUGAUGCUGAAACACAUUGCUGAGAUGAGGCCCCAAAGACAAAGUGAGAGAAGUGGAAGUAUCUCAGGGCUUCAGGUGGUAAUUUAAUCACUGCUGACUGAGGCCUUGCUGGCUUGCAGAAAUAGUUCUAUCUACCAGUGGGUCCCUCUAGGAAGGGAAGUUUCUAUCACCUCAGUAAAAGGUAGUGAAUGCUACUGAAGUCAUUUAGACUCCUAAACUUUUGCCAGGCUAAUGCAAUUCCCUUUGGAAAGAAGAAAUACUAUACAUACUUCAAUAGAAAUUCAGCCCUCAGUUUUGUCAUUCUCUGCAAUUUCAUGAACUUUCUCGAAUACUCCUUUGUCUUCUUUUACUCUUCUGUUGUGAAUUCAUUUUGCUAGAGAGCAAGAGAGAAAUAGAUCAAAGAUGGAAUUGAACCUUGUCUCAAGAAGAAACCUUAAAAUGAUCAUCUAGGAUGGGGGCAAAGCGGGAAGGAGGUAAAGAAUUUGGAACUCAAAAUUUUGGGAAACAAGUGUUAAAAAUGAUUAAAUAUAAAUUGGAAAAAAAUAAAAUAUUAUAUAUUUAUACAAAGAUCAUCUUGUAUCUGGUCUGGCCCCCCAUCUGCCUAGUUAUAUCUUAAACUUAACUUGUGAUUUUAUUAGUAUAUAUUAUAUUUAUGUGUAUAUGAACAUAGUAUAUAGUAUAAGGAACUCUCAGUAGAUAAAUUUCCUCAACCAAUGCAGAUUAGCAUUUGCUAUGGGUUUUUUUUUUAAAUUAACCUGUUCAUUUUUCUUAUUGCACAAUAGUACUCCAUCACAAUUAUAUGCCACAAUUUGUUAGUCUUAGAGAGUUGUCUUGGGGAGCUGAGAGGUUAACUUGCCAAAAGUCACCUAAUGAGUUAGAAGAAGGGCUUGGAAAAGAGUUAGUCUUCCUUCCUCCAAUGUUGGAUGACUGCCCAUUAGUCCUUCUAUAACCAUUAGGCUAUGUGUCCCCACCCACCCCUUCCCCUUUUCAAUUCUCUCUUUUUACAAAUGGGAAAACUGAGACACUAAGUGUAUUUGCUAUUGUGAGUAACAAACCUGAACCAAGGUCCCUUGACUACAAAUCUAGGGUUCUUUUCAUCUGCCAUGCUGCUCAUGCUGCUCUUUUCCAUAUGUGAACAAUCCACACAGUUCUCUAUGGAGCUCAGUAGGACUGGUUCCUCGUUACUUAUUUCCUACAGAUCAGUUCCAGGUGACCAUUUUUUAGACAUCUCUUAGGAUAGUUCCUUCCUUCAUGCUCAUGCCCUUCUGUAAUGGGGUCCCUCCUUUCUGCUGCCUGUCCAUCAAAGCCCAGCUUAAGGUGCCUCUCCUCCAUAAAACAUCUUCUGAGAAUUCUAGCCCACAUCCUGUUGUAUUUCUAGAAAGUACCCUUUUUUUUCACCACAUAAUGUGUUCUGUUCAGUUGGAUUAGUCUUUUAUGCUCAGCUAGAUAAUGUCCUGGCUUUGCCACAUAUAUGCAGGUGGCUUUGGACAAAUCACUGAAGAUUGUGGGAUCAGAACUGUAGGACCAGAAGAAAUCUGAGAGACUAUUGAGUUCAGCCUCUUUAUUUUACAGAUAAAGAUACUGAAACCCAGUGAAGGUAAGUGACUUGACUACAGUCAGAUGAGUAGUGUCAGAAUUAGGCGAUGCACUUAGAUAUUCCAAUUCUAAAGUUAUUAUUUUUUCUUUUGUAACAAACCAACUCAACCUAUCUGAGUCUAUCUAAACCUGGAAGGUAAUAGGAUUGGACCAAACCAUUCAAAAAGGCAUUAUUGGCCUGCCUUGUGCCAGACACUGCUAAGUGCUUUCUGUGGGACUGUGUGUCCUUAAAUCUAUGAACCUAAGUCCCUCCAAGGCACAUGCCAUAUGUGAUCAUUCUUCAUCACUCUCCCCACCACUCAUCUUGAAGAAUAGAUUCUUAACCUGGGAUAGACUGCCAGGGUUCAUGAAUUUGGAUAGGGAAAAAAUACAGCUUAAUUUCAAUGUAAUUGGUUCCUUUUUUAAUAAUAUGUAUUUUAUUUUAUAUAUUUAAAAACAUUCUAGGCAGGGUUCAUAGGCUUCACCAGAUAGUAAAAAGGGUCCAUGACACCCAAAGAUUAAAAAUUCUUGGCAUAUAAUAAAUGCUCAAAUAAAUACUUUGGCAAAUUAAAUAUCCAAUAGGGUUGGGUUUUUUUUUUAUUUAAUUGUAUGAUGAAAUGUGUGUUGUGCUAUUGCUGAUCAUUCUGUUUUUGUUUUUUUUAAACCUUACCUUCCUUCUUGGAGUAAAUACUGUGUAUUGGUUCCAAGGCAGAAGAGUGGUAAGGGCUAGGCAAUGGGGGUCAUGUGACUUGCCCAGGGUCACACAGCUGGGCAGUGUCUGAGGCCAGAAUUGAACCCAGGACCUCUCGUCUCUAGGUCAGGCUCCCAAUCCACUGAGCUACACAGCUGCCCUCUAUUGCUGAUCAUUCUGCCUGAUAAAUUGAUUUUUAGGGGAUGCCUCCCAUUAGGUGUGAUGCAUUGAAAACAAAGAAGAAAUAACAAAAACUCUUAUUUUCUGCUCUGUUUUAUUUUAGUUUUCUUGAGCUGUGAAGGGUAAGAUAAGAAUAGUUGAAGGGAAACAGAAUGACUGAAAAACAACUAAAAAACAUUUAGGGGAUUCUCAGAGCCAAUUGUUAAAUUUUCAAUAAGAAUAUUUAUAACUCAAGAAUCAGCAAAUUCUACAAACCAAGGUUUGACUUUUUGUUUUGAUACAUGUCUAGACUUUUAAAAAUGUCAAUACUACAGAAAAAAACUUAAAAGUGUAUUACACGUACUUUUUUUGAGUUAGUUGUUUAACCCUUGGCCCUAUCCCUCUUUAACAUUCUGUCAUUCCCUCCUUUUUCAAUCUAGUAAUAUAUGAUACAAGAAUAACUUGAUUUCCUUUUUUGAUAGUUACUAGACUGAUAGAUGAAGGGAAUGCUGUGGAUAUUAUUACCUUUAUUUAAGCAAGGCAUUUAAAAAUUCAUCUCAAAAUCCAUAUAGCCAAAGGAUAUAGUUUGGAUGAUAGUACAAGUAAUUGGAUUCAGAACUAACUAAUUGAAUAACCAGACCUCCCCACCCCCAACAAAAUCUAUGCAUCCAUGUCAAGCUGGAGAGAAGUUUUUGGUGGAGGGUCACCAAGCUCUAUCCUCAAUCCUGUUCUGACCAGCUUUUUUUUUUUUUAAUUCAUGACUUGGAUGAAGACAGAAAUGCCAUGCAUAUCAAAAUUAUGAAGAGUAUGAACUAGUAAAGGUAGUUUAUGAACCAGAUGAUAGAAUCAAGAUCCCAGAGGAUCAAAAUAGGGUAGAACAAUGUGCUGUAUGUAAUGAUAUGAAAUUAAUCUAUAUAAAUGGAAAAUUCUAUACUUGGAUAUUUUAAAAUAUGCCCCCCCUUUAAAAAUUACAAUAGCAUCUAUCUGUCUCUGUUAUUAUGUCACCUUUACCAUUCCCCACAAUAUUUCAGGAAUCAUUGAUAAUGACUUAGGAGUCAUAUUUGAAAGUUAUUUAAAAACUAUGGGAUAUAGUUUUUGUGGUUCUGAUGGUUUGAUUUCAAUAAAGUCAAUGAGAUUCUCUCUUAUAAUCUUUUGUUAUUUGGGUUUCACUUUCUUUUUAGCCAUAUUUGUCUUAUCUUUCUCACACUGAAUACUUUUUUUUUCUUGGUAGAGAAAACAGAGCAGACAGGAAUUGAGUAGUUCAGCCUUCUUUCCUUGAUCCAUUUUUAUUGUCUUAUUACUCUCUUGUGGAACAGAUUUGUCUUUCAUUGUUCUUCCUUCUGCCUCCAACAUAACUUCAGAAAAUUUUUUUUUGUAUUGUCCUUAACAUUUACCACAUGCCUGGACUCAUUCUGGGCUUGUACAUUCAUGGCAUUAUUUUUUAAGCCUAUACAAUUUAUUUGUAUUUACUUUCAGCUAUUUAUCCUUACUUCUGUCUUCUGUUUCUUUUCUUAAGGUUUCUGAAAUAUAUGACAGCUUAACUGAUAUAUUUUCUUUAUACCUGCUCUGUUUCUCUUGAGCAAACUCUUUGAACUUGGCACUACUCAAGAAACGGUGAAUUAUAAUUUUCAAUUCAACUGUUCAAGACAUCUCCAAAAAUUUGUUUUCUCCUGCAAAACUAAGAUACUGUUUGGACAACUCCGCUGUUACAGUUAGAGGAGAACUGUAGCGAUCUGAGUGACAAAGAGUCUGCCUUUAAAAUUAGCUCAUCUCUCUGGAAAGGAUCUGGCUUUUAUGAGAUUUUCUAUGGGGUCACAUUUAAGUGGUGUCCUUGAUACUGUGCAUUUGCAUUCCAUAGCAAUAUUUAUGACAAUAUGGCUUCUGCAUUGUUACUUUUCAUAGUGGAGUAAUAACCAGGGGUGAGAAUGGAGGUUGGGGGAAGGCGAUAAUGAGAGUUAAGAAGUGAAAACCCACAUAUUCUUUUUCAUUCAGGUAUGAAUGGUAGGACAGCCAAGGUGAGCUCAAGGAGUAAAGUUCGGCAGCAGCAGGGGUACUAUGUAUGAGUAUGUCUGUUCAUAAAUAUAGGAGACCUUUAAAAAUGACAGGAUGGUCAUGUGAAUUGUUUAAUGAGAUAGAAGAUUCAAUGUGCCUUUGUUCAGAGAGAUUUACCCAAGUUGAUUUUUUUUCCCCAUAAGCCAAUCAGAUCACAGACUUCAUCUGAGGCAGUUUGGAAAUUCAGCAUCUCUCAAAUUCAUUUUUAUACGGAUAGCAUAUGUCUGCAAAAUGGCUAUUUUACAAGAAGAACUGCUCCCUCCAAGCCAUUUGUGCUUUGGUAAUGAGUUCCCUUAUACAACUGAGGUAAAUGUUAAUGCUGAAUUCCUUUUAGCCAAAGCAACAAACACUUCACUAAUUGUAAAUAAAGCACACAAAUUUGCAUCCUAUUCAGUGCGAUCCUCAGUGCACUUUGAUGCUAAAUGCCAUAUUAAUUUAAUAUUUUCCCUGUAAGGAACAGAUGCUAAUGUGAUAAUAACUCAGUCUUUUUCCCACUAUGGUGUCACAUUAACUGUUAACAUCUCUUACCCUUGUUUCUUAGUACCCCCUAAAGUUUUAAAGCUGAAACUUACUUGAGAAAUUAGCUCACGAAUGGGUUCCAAUUGGGAUAAGGCUGAAAUUUCAGCUCUUUGCCUCCUUCUCCUUUGUUCCCAAUGGUUUUGUGGAGAAGGAAGAGGUGACAUUGGAUAGGCAAAGCAAUGACAUCAGUCUUUAGGCCUUUAAAAAAAACGACUGGAGUUUCUUUUGCGGUGAACCAAGUUAAUGGUGGAACUGUAGCCUCUAACUUCUAGCUUUUGUGGCUGAAACAAAAACUUUGCGGAGUGACAUUUCUGGAUUAAGGGAUUAAGUUAUGACUGUAAUGUGGACAUAGGAAUUUAGCUACACCAAGCAGGCAAACUGUUCCAUCUUAUAGUGAGCUGUGUUCCUCCACUACACGUGGGAAAAUGGAAAAUCAUGUUUCUAGACAUUGAGGAGCAAUUCUUCUUGACUUCCAUGUUUAGUCAUAUGUCUAGGUUUUAAUGUGUUAUCUGCUUUGCCUGGGGAAAUCAAGUUAAAAUUAUAAUAAUGGCUUUAAUUUCAUAAACUUAUAAUAUUUGGCACCCUAAAAAAGUAUUCUGAUACAUUUUUUUAAAUUAAUAAACCGACCAGAUCCAAUAUUCUUAUUCUUUAUAUAAAUAGCCCCAAAAAAUAUUAGUGGCCUCGCUUUGCAAACUUCCACUGAUUCCAUAACUAAACAUAUUAAAUGUCCUAUGGCAAAAGGGGGACUCAGAAAUGGUUAUAGACAUCUUAAUAAUCUGGUUUCAAAUGAAACAAUUCUGUAUUUAAGCUGAUCACUUCCCACAAGACCAGUGAUGGUGAACCAUGUCAGUAGCAUUGGUCCAGGUUUUCCUAUAUUGUCCUGUUUGAUUCCCCAGAUUUUAUUAAUUUGUAGUUUUUCUCUCCUUUUCCCACCCUUCCCUAUGCAAUGUAUAGGCUAGUUAUGCCUAGGAAAUUUGUACUUAAAAUUCAUAGAAAGUAUUCUAUACACAAAUAGCAUGCCAUUUGAGAUAACAAUCCUUCAUUUUCACUUGAUUUUCAUCAAAUUUUCUAAAACCAGACAUGUGACAUUCAGUAUUUAGAACUUCACUUUGAUCCCUAGUUCCAAAUUGAGGGCCUUUUAUUUGCUAACUAUAUCAUCAUGUCAAGCUAUUUCACUUCUAUGUACCUCAGUUUCCUCAUCUAUAAAAUGGGAGAAUUGUAUUAGCUAACCUCCUGAGUCCAAUUCAGUUUAAAAUUGUGUUUAAUGAGCUUUGAGACUCAGGCAUAUGAUAACUGAAUGGAGUGAUUGUCUUCUAAGUCCAAAGAGAUAUGGAAUAAUUGGUAGGAAAUCAGAUGAAAACAAGAAUCUUUGAAAACUAAGCAUCGUCAUUCGGUGAUCUGGGCUAGGCAGAAUAUAGCAUGAUGAUCAUAUUCCUACGUCUAGACAAGAGAUCUCUUUUAAUGCAGCCUAAGAUCACAUUAGCUCUGUUGUCCACUGGAUUAGACUUCUAAAAUAUAUUGGAUUUGAAACCCACUAAAACCCUUUUAUCUUUUUCAAUUAAGCUGCUUUGGCCACAUGUCCCUCAUUUUAUAUGUGUAAAGUUGAUUUUUUUAACCUGAGUAUAAAAUUUUUACGUUUAUCCCCAUUAAAUUUCAUCUUAUUAGAUUGAGCCCAACCUUCUAGUCUAUCGAACUCUUUGGGGGAUUCCGACUCAUCCUACAAGUUAGUUAUCCCUUCCAGAUUUCUGUCAUAUGAGAAUUUGGUAAGUAUACCAUCUAUGCAUUUAUCCAAGUCAUCAGUAGAAAUGAUAAAGAACCAGAGACAGUCUUAGUACUCUAGACUUCUAUAAUAGAGUCCUCCUUGAAACCUUAAUACAGAUAUCCCUUCCGCAUCAUAGCUUUGCUGAUCACAGUUUCAAUAUUUCAUGCAUGGGUCAGCAUAAGAAAUUAAAUGGAAGUAAUUUUUUUUAGAGUUUUGCAGAAGCUAUAGAUGACACACAAAGGCCAGCAUGUGACACAGAAAAUGUUUAGAAACUCAGAAAUACAUAGAAUAUGUGUAUGGUAUUGUAUAAUAUCAGCAUAUUUUGUUUCAUUUUGAAAGCUUUUUCAUAUUUAAUUUUUUAAUUUAUUUUUUCAGGUAGUAUUUUUACUUAAUAUUUAUCUACAUAUAGCUGAUGACCAACUAUUUAAUCCAAAUUUUACCACAAAAUACUGUAAAUAGCCCAUAAAUGAAAAAAAUAAAAAAUUCAGACUUCUUCUCUACUAUGAAGAGUGUCAAAAAAGUUUACCUGGCUUUUCCACAUCCUAUGGAUGGCAAGUUCCUGACCCCUGAGAUGUGGAAGAGAUACCUCUAAUUACUUUCUGAGAUCCAAAUAUUUAACCAAUUUCAAAUCCACCUAACUCUAGUCCAUGUGUUUUCAUUCUGUCUGUAAGAAGAGCAUGAGAGAAUUCAUUAAAUUCUCAGGUAAAAGUUUAGUAGCCUCCAUCUUUAGCAUUUCCCUGAUCUUCCAAUCUGGGAAACCUAUAAAGAAAGGAAAUGAGGUCUUUCUGGCAUGACCUAUUCUUAAUGACACCAUGAGGGUUCUUUAUGGUACACCCCGCCUUUUUCUUAGAUAUUUACUAACUCUGCCUUCAAUGGUAUUUUUAGAAUAUUGAUGAGAAUUAAAUUCAAACUCAGUAACCUCUAAGUGCAGUGGAUGGAAGUGUUCCAGUCUCAGACACUUCUUAGCUGUGUGACCCUGGGCAAGUAGCUUAAUAUGAACUUCCUAGCCCUUACCAUUCUUCAUCUUGGAACUGAUACUUAGUAUUGAUUCUAAGACAGAAGGUAAGGGUUAAAAAAAAGUUAAGUAAAUUCCCAGGCAUACAUAGGUAGUGUUUCAGGCUGGAUUUGAUCUGACUCCAGACCCAGUGCUCUCUCCACAGUACCACCUAACUGCCUCCAUUUGGAAUCAGGAGCCUGACUCAAUUUUUUUUUUUUUAGUUUCCAAAUUCUGGAAAACCCUUCCUUUAAAGUUUUUGGCCAUCUGCCUAAUUUGUUCAAAUAUUCAGAACUAUAAAGAAUCUCAUAUUCCUAUUAGGAGCUAGGCAUUUACGAAAGGUGGAACUGUUGAUCUUUUCCCAAUAUAUCCAAUAUAAGCAGUGUAUUUAUGAUUAUGACUCAGUGGUCACAGGAUUUAUAAUCUCAGCAAAGAAGCACCCAUGUCAGUAGUUUAGGGUUAGUAGCAGUUCUUAACAUUUCUGUCCAGGAAAUAUAGGUGAUUUUGACAUGAAGCACGUCAUUUUUCAAUGAGAAGACUUCCCAAGUCAGAAAGAAAGUGUGGAUGUGCAAAGAAAUCACUAGACUUGGACCUAGGAAUGAAAUUUAUGAGGGAAUAAACCAAGGCAAGUCACUUCAAACAAGUAUGGAGCUGAUUUUCCUGUGAACUGGGAAUAAUGAUGCUUUUAUUGCCUAUCCCACAGACAAAUGGUAAGGAAAGUACUUUGUAAACCUGACAACUAGAGAUACAUAGAUAGACACAGAUAUAUAUGUCUGUGUAUAUACAUAUAGAUAAAUAGAUAUGAUUAUUAUUUUAGCCCCCAGAUCAUAAGCUAAAGAAUAUAAGCAUCAAACUGAGUUCAAAGGUGAAAAAAAAAUAGUCCAAGCUACAUUCAGACCUCAAAUCUGAUUUUUACUAUCUAAGACCAAUGGGAAUUUCCCUUAAGCUGUGGAUUUCUCCACCAUGAUUUGUGUCUCAAUGAACAUAGCCUCUGGAGCCAAGAGGAUUGAGAUGUGGAGUGAUUUCAGGGCUGCUUUGUUCCAACUGCAUUACCAAAAUCAUCUAGAGUAAUGAGAGGCUUUCCUCUCAUUGACAGCCAACAAAGCUUCAAACUUCUUUUUAUAUUGAUUUUGAUCAGUAGCUAGGAUAGUAUUCCACAUACAAUGGACCAAUGGGAAAUAACUGUCAUCAUUUAAAAAAAUAGCUAUAAAUAUUGAGCACCUACUAUUUACCAGUAUAGUAUUAGUAGGUCUUUUGGUGGAUUCAAAGGAUAGAUAGAAAACAUGCCCUCCAGGAGUUAAUAAUCACUUGGGGGGGAGAGGAUUGGCUAUCUUGAAGCAAUAAUAGAUAAUGAAAGAGAGGCAGGAUGUGAUUAGAUGCCAAAUUGUGUCAUAUAAAUGUUGGAGGAAUUUAAAGAAAGAGAUGAAUGAUAUUAUCCUACCUUAUUUGUCAUUCCUCUCCAUCCACAUAUGAAAAUUUUAUCCAGCAAUCAAGACUCUGCUUAAGACGUAGGUCUCUCAUGAAAUCGGCCUCUUGUCAUUUCUCUUUGAAUUUCGAGAGAACAUAUGAUCUACACCAGCCAUUUAAUACUUCAUUGUUUAAUUACUUUGUGAUAUCUCUUAUAAUGUUAAUAAAAUACCUAAUAUGGGAAUCUAACUCUUGUAUAAUUUUUUUCCACCAAAACUUGGAGUGUUUAAGAUGUUUUAUGCAUUUGUCAUGUGUUAGCAUUUCUAUAGUAUUUUAAGUUUUGCAAUGUGCUUUAAAAAUAUUAUCUCAUUUUAUCUUCACUAUGACUCUGGGAGGUAGGUGCUUUUAUUACCCCCAUUUUAAAAAUGAGGAAACUGAGGUAAACAGAGGUUGAUUAGUCUGGGAUCAUCUAGCUAGUAAGUGUUUGAGGCUAGAUUUUAACUGAGGUUUUCCUGACUCCAGCUCCAGCGCUCUAUCUACUGUGCCACCCAGUUCCAUGUUUUAUGUCUUUUUUGUAUCUCCUGUGGAGCUUAUAACAAACAUUUUUCUACACAGAAUAGUUGCUAAAUGUAUAUAUUGCAAUCCCCCUACCACUUGAAGACUUCAGAAACUAUGAAAAAUAGACUGCAACUAAAGAUAUCCUUGGAAGAAGAUAGUCCAAAUUAGAUAUCUCCCUAUAGCAUGAGGAUCACCUUAAUUUCUCAAAGCUGUACUAGCUCUAGUUCUACCUUGCUGGAAGAGUUUUGACUCUAGUUCCAGCAACGGCCUUCCUCUGUUUUGGGGGGAAACAACCUACCUAAGGAAGGGGAGAGGUUCAUCACUACUUGGCAGCAUCCUCCUUGCCAUCUUCCUCAUAGUGCUAAUAAUAGUAAUUUUAGUAAUAAUAGUAGCAGCUACCAUUUAUAUAGCUCCCACUAUGGCACCUGUCAGCACUGUCCUUAGGAAUAUUAUCUCAUUCGAUCCUGACAGCAACCCUGGAUGCUGUUGGUGAUUAAUUCUUUGGCCAUGACCACCCAGUCUCUUCUGAACAAAAAGGGGAAAUUGGCCAGAGUGGAAUAGAUUAUGUGUUGAGGAAUAAGGGGUUUAUUGGUAUUUUUUGGAAGAACUUGAAAAUGCAGGCAAAGGAGGUUAGAUUUAAUAUGGUGAACACUUCAUAUCUGAUAACAGUUUUUGAACAAUGACAUGAUAAAACAUGCCCUUGGAGCAAGCCACACAAAUUUUUAAAAGAGCUUAUUUUAAUACUUAAUGAGUCUUUGAUGUAACCCAUAUAAUAAUACUAUUAGCUAGUAUUUAUAAAGCAUUUUAAGAUUUGUCAAGCUUAAUUAAUAUUAUCUCAUUUGAUCCUCUCAAUCACCCAAGAAUUUAGGUUUUGUUAUUAUCCCCAUUUUUGCAGUUGAGAAAACUAAGGUAGACAGUAUUUAAAUGACUUGCCCAUGGUCACACAACUAUCUGAGACAGGAUGUAAACUGAGGUUCUCCUGUCUCUCUGAGCCCAACACCCUUUCUACUAUACAACCUAGAUGCCUUUCUUUCUAUGUAAAGUACAACUCUACUGGACUUUGAGAGUUAACUGCAUUUAAGAAAUGAGUAUCUCCAAACUUACCUAGGCUGUUCAUUGGAUGACAAACAACAUAUCCUUGGUCUAUAUUUUUGUUCAGUGGAAAGAAUACUCAAUCUAAAGUGAAGAGACUUGUGUUCAAUUGCUGGUUCUGCAACUGACUGCCUAUUUGACCCAGGGUGAACCAUUUACUGUCUUUCAAUCUUAUUUUCUCAGUAAAAUAAGUAAAAUAAAAUAAAUGUGUUGUAAAUAAAAUAAUAUGUUGGGCUUGUUGGCUACUAACAUUCCUUCCAGCUCCAAAUCUAUGCUCUCAGGAUCCUAUAUAACAUUUAAGGAGGUUAAUUCAACAGUAGAAGUAUGUGAGACAAAUUUUAGUGAAUUGCCUGGAACCCUUUUUAGACCACACCUCUCUCCCUUCUUUACCCCAAUGAAAGGGACAGAACCAGCAGGUCCUGGUCCUCUAAUUUUGUUUCACAAGCUGUUUACACAAACCCAGAGAGGUUAAGAGUCUUCCCUGUGCUUGUCAGGCUUUCUGUUCUAUGAAAAUUGACAGAGCCUGCAGGCUGAAGGGCUAAUUUUAAUAGAAAUAACCUAGGUGGGUUUGUUAAUUUUCUUGGUUCCCUUGAUGAUCUGUCUGCAUAGCAUGAAGGUUCUUUGAUGUGACUGGGAGAACAGAAGGAUAUUUUGUGCAUAGCCAACCAUGAGAGCAGUGCUGGUUCUGCAAUAAAGAGUCAAAAAAAAAAAAGAUGACAGUAGCCUUCUCACCCUGGAAGAUGCCUCCAACCUACCGCCUCUCUCCUUGGAAGAUCCAUCUACCCCUGUGGCCCUCUUAUUGAUGAAUUCCUCCAAGAAGUUCCAUUUUGAUGCAGUGCCCAGGUCCCUGAUGCUCACUCCUUCACUCCUCUCUCAGCUCUACUCCUGAUUUUCUGGAUUACUUCACCAUGCUGUCCCCACCCCUGAUUUUUCAACUCUCUCAUGUGGAUUUUCUUCCCCCAUUAGAAUGUAAGCUCCAUGAGGGCAGGGUCAGCCCCACUGCCUGCAUUUUUGCUUGUAUUUGUAUUCCCAGUGCUAAAUACAGUGCCUGGUGUAUAAUAAGUAAUUAAUAAAUGUUUAUUGGCUUGACUUGUAUUUCUAUUCCUAGUACUAGCAAAGUGUUUGGCACAUAUUAGAGCAGGCAGUUAAUACAUAAUUAUUUAAUUAAAUGAAAUUUAAUACUGAGAGGGGCAGCUAGGUGUUUCAGCAGAUAGAGUUGCAGGCCUAGAGAUGGAAGGUCCUGAGUUCAAAUCUAGCCUCAGAAAUGAGCCUGGGUAAGUCACUUGACUCCAAUUGCCUAGUCUUCACCUCUCUUCUGCCUUGGAAUCUAUACUUAAUAUAGAUACUAAGACAGAAGAUAAGGGUUUUAGAAUGAAAAAAAAAUUAUAUUGAGAACUUUGCUCCUGGGGAAAAUAUUAAGGGAAUAAGACUUCCCAAUGCUGUAUGGAUACUCUACAAGGAAUGCUAAGCACUUCUCAAUAAAUGUUAGUUGAUGGGAAUGACUUUUAAAGAAUACCAAAAGCAUCUAAAUAACAAGAAAAAUUUAUAUUGAAGAUCAUUUUCAGAAUGGACGGCCAAAAGUUCUGCACUGAGGUGGAGAAGGGUGUAUCUAUGCUCACUGCGGAUGUUACCUUUAUUCUCUAAUAUGCCACAUACCCAUGAAGUUGUCACAGAUAAACUUUAUGCAUAUUUUCUUGUCUAAUGGAAGUCACUGAUAAAAAGAACAUAAAGCUACCUCGCCUAGAGUUAUCCAUAUUAAGGCGAAGGUAUGAUUUGGAACAUAUUUUUGGAGUAAGACCUUCAAAUCAGAGUUUCUAAGGAUAUAAUGGCCAAAAUUUUGUUUUCUGCUUUGAUAAGUAUUGGGGGGAGGGGGUCCUGCUCAUUAAAUUCAUUUCUCAAAGGCAAAUUAUUUAAAAGGUGAUUCCUAUAAAAUCACAACUAGGAAUACUCAUCUUGCUGAACUAGAAAUAUAUUUCAUCUUGAUGAAAAGUUUAUUUCUGAUUUUGAAUUUUUUUUUUUUGCGCACUCCUAUAGUUAAAAAACUGAGGUAUGGAGAUUCCCUGAAAUAAUGGACUCCAAAUUCUAGUCUUAGAAUGUUACCUGAGACAGUAAGAGGUUAAAGCUUGUUCUAUCACUAGUGGGACUUGAACCUAGUUUUUCCUGCCACAAAUCAAGCCUUUUGUACAUUAUACCCUACUGCAUCAAGUAUAGCAAAAUGCAUAUUUUUUGUGGCUUUUCCAGCACAAUCCUGAGAGGCUAGUUAAUGUCCCACAUGAAAGAGGAUGCCAAAAAAGGUCUUCUAGAUUUGAACCUACCUUUGCUCUUGUGACUGAACUUUUUUGAUGAUCUAUAAAUUAAAUCCUCAACUCUACGAGUAUUAAAGGUCUACCUUCAAAUGGAAAAAUGAUUGAGGGGUUAAUGGCUAUCAGCUAAUGCUGAAGUAUUACCAUGUUGGCAAAUAGUAAUACAGUAAUGGGAUGCAGAGCCAAAACCCCCAAAUCUAAGGAAGCAGGCAGAUGCCUAAGCCAAUAAAUGAGCCAGAUUGAAUGAAAUAAGAGACAGCUCCAAACAAAUGGAAAAGACUACAGAGGAGCCAGAAUGGAAGUGGAAAACCAGAAACCAACCAGAUAUAUACAAGAUCAUAGUGGAGACAACUUGUCUUUUGACAAGGAGAUUAAUUUGGGAUAGGAACCAAGGGGAGGUUGACCAUUUUUAAUUUUGGCCAGACCUGUGAUUUUCACAUUUAAUGAGUUCCUUGAUGAGAAAAUUCCUUCUACUAAUCAGAUUGUUACUUGUAGUCUUAAAGUGUUUCUUAGUGGUGUAGAAAAGCAAAGUGAUUUGUAUAGAAUCCCAAACUGAGAGUAUGUCAGAGAUGGGACUAGAACCCAGUAUAUCAUGACUCCUAAGCCAACUCCCUAUCCACUCUGUCAGUCUUCCUCUUAGUAUGCUGACUGUACCUAUACUGAAAAGGGAAAUACCCCCUUGAAAUGAGGUUCCUGGAAAUGAAGGAAGACUGUAUAUUUGUUUAUUUUGAGGGCUCUCCAGCCCCUCUGGCUAAUGUUAGAUGUUAACGCAUGGUUUAGCACUGCUCCUGAACAUAAAUAUAAUUAAAGAUACUAAGUACUUCCUAAAAUUAGACCAGAAACAUAAAAAUCUCAUCUCCCAUGAAAAGACAUUUCUCAUGGAUUUCUGCAUCACAGGCUGGGGUUAUUAUUUCCUUAAUUUUAGUUGCCACUUAAAAAAAUUACACAGAUACUGCCAUUGGAGUUAACAAUACUUACUUGACUCCUGAGUACAACACAAUAUAGCUGAAAGUGAAGACUUUAAUUUUUUUUUUUGCAAGUACAGAUGUUAUAGCUAAUUGUGUCUGGUAGGUAAAGAGUGGCCCCAUUUUUUCAGUCUGUCUGGUGAUGACUUCUCAUUUUCUGCUACAAGCAAAUCUAAUUUGCAAAUGAAAAAUUUCUCUGAAACAGACAUUGCCUGCAAGGGAAUUAUAGCCCUACACCUUUGGAAGUGUUCAAGUGAACACACAAUUGCAUUUUAAACAAAAGACUUAUGAUCUUAAUUCGAAAUUAAAAUAACAAUUGUUUCUAAGUGGUACUUAUUAUUUUUUAAAGUUUCAGCAUUCCAAUAACAAUCAUCAAGAGGGGAGUUCAUUUUUAUACAAAGCAGGUAAAGAAUCAUUGUCUCAGCUUGCUUGAUAUUUCUUGUUUGAAGUUUGAAGUUUUGUUUUGCUUUUGUUUUGUUUUUUCCUGGUACCAUAGAAUUACCUUGUUGAUAAUGUAUAUUUCACCAUUCAGUUUUCUGACUAUGGUAUGUGACUGGUACCAAUAUUAUAUUAUUGGUGUUUUUUUAAUAGGUGAGAGAAAGCCCUUUAGAAUCCCAGAUUUGGAGAAGUGGAGUAAUACUAACCUUUUAGGCUUAAUUUCUAUAUGUAAAAGCUGUAUUUAAGAUGUAGGAAUUGACUUUCAAUUCAGGUCAAUUCAGUCCUGUCUCAAAUAUUUGCAUGUUUACUGGGAAAGGAAAAUCUUGCUUUCAAGUUCUGAAGAUAGGAGACCUUAAGUACUCAAGUACUAGCUUUGUUCAUAUUCCCACUUCCUGUUUACUCCUCUUAUAAUUCUAGGAAAAGUUAAAUUAUAGAAUUUGAUAUCAUAUAUGGGUCUAAGGGAGAAUCGUUUGAUCCAAGAAUAGAUGGGCAUCCCCUCAAUUUCCAGUUCUUUGCCAAAAUGAGCUGCUAAAUUUUUUUUAGGACAUUUAAGUUCUUUUCUUUUUCCCCUGAUCUCCUUAGGAAAUAAGCCUAUUAGUGGUAUUGCUAGUUCAAAGGUAUAUAUAUUUUAUAACUCUUUGGACAUAAUUUCAGAUUGCUUUCCAAAAUGACUGGAUCAGUUCAAAGUUCAUCAACAGCAUAUUAGUAUCUCCAUUUUUCCACAUCCCCUCCAAUACUUGUCAUUUUGCCCAUUCAUUGUUUUUUGCCAAUUAUUGUAGGUGUGAGAAGAUAUCUGAGUUGUUUUGAUUUGCAUUUCUCUUAGUGAGGAAUUGGUGGUGGAAAGGAGUUGAGGAUGGGCUUUGAGAGGUGGAGCUGGAUAAAGGAACUGUAGCAACAACAACAAUAUUACCUGGCAUUCAUAUAGCACUUUAAGAUUUGCACAGUGCCUUCCAUUUUAUCUCAUUCUAUUUUCACAAACAGCCAUGUGAGGUAGGUGCUAUUAUUAUUCUCAUUUAAUAGUUGGGAAACUGAGUAUGAGAGAGAUUUAGCUACUUGCGUAGGAUAACAGAGCUGGUAAGUAUAUGAGGCAAAAUUGAGCUCAAGUCUUCCAGACUCCAAAUCCAACACUCUAUCUUAAUCUUUGUAGUGUUUGUCAAAUGACUGGAUGAAUUCCAAAGUCACAUCUAGUUAACUUUUUAAAAAUUGUUCCAUUGUUUUAGAUCAUUGAGGAUUCUGUGGGAUCAUGGAUAGCUUUGGUUCCUAGGUUGUUAGCGUGGUGACCUUCAGAGCAUGAAAAUUAUUAUUAAAGGAUUUAUAAGGGGUUUUGGAAUAUCUGUGCCUUUCUUUUCCAGUAGCUAACGGGAGGCAAAUAAAAAAAUCCAGAGAAGACUGCAUAUCUAAAUCUGUGAGUUAAUGAGUUGUGUUAAGUCAGAAAAAUGUUGUUUCAAGUAAACCUUUGGCUUACAAACAAGUUCCUGGAAUGGCUUAAAAGUGCUUAUUUAAAGGGCUGAUAUUGUUAGUGAUCCAGAAUUAGGCUAGCCCUGUGCUUUAACCACCUUGCUAGCCAUUCCCAUGUUUUGUUUUCCAUCCACCUUUGUAUGGAGAUCGUGUGCAAAGCAAAAUGCUGUGCAUUAAUGGAUAGGUUUGGUCCCCAGGGUUGUUAGCCCAGCAACCUUCCAAGUGUGAAAUCCAUUUAGGAAGGGAUCAAGAAAGGAAAAUCAAAAAGAAUGGGAAGAACUGCUUAUACAGGGUGGUUUAUACAGUUAGUGGCGUUAAUUUUUAUAUCCUUGAAAGGGUUUGCUGAAAAGACAUGUAAGUUAAAAAUGCUCUGGUUAAGGCUUUGGUCCUUAGAAUUGCUGCCCCAUCAGCAAGGAAACACUGAAACCAGCAUGACCACUGUAAAUUUAAAGCAACCUAGGACCAAACUGCUCAGGUAAGUCUGAUAGCCAUGUCUCCCCAGUGACUAUUUAUCCAGAUGUCCUUUUGGGAGGGUACAGGACCGAUCUGUAAUGGAUCUCAGGACUGCCUUGUCAAGCCCCUUAGAUGGCUCUUUUUGCUGACCCUAGUUCCUGUGUGUGUGUGUGUGUGUGUGUGUGUGUGUGUGUGUGUGUGUGUGUGUGUGUUUCUAUUCCAUUCUAUUUGUGCAUUCAGGAGUGCAUGGCUAAAACUGCUUCCAGGGCUGCCUUUGUUUGCUUGUCUUGUGCUGCAUCUGUCAGUGAGAUCUAGCAACUUUCUUCCUCCUGAAACAUGACUUGCUGCUCCUAAAUGAACAUGUCAGCUUCUCCUGGCCUCUGAUCCAUGAUUCAAAGCCUUGGGUGUAAAAUAAGCCUGUUGAAGAAACCAUCAACAGCCCACUUGUGUGCAUUUCAACAACUCAACAAACUAGAUAUAAGCUCAGUGGGACAUUUGGAGGAGGGGGGAGCUAAAGAACUAGUCCUGGCUUUGAUACAGGCUUACUAUGCCUUCUGGGAACAUUGCCUCACCUCUCUCAGCUGUAAUUUCUUAUUUGUUAAGUCAGUUUAAAAAUAUUUGCACUGUCUCCCUCAUAAAGUCUUUGGGUCUUAGAGAUCUGGACCUUAAACAGUCAAGUGACUUGCCCAGGGUCUCAGAGUCAAUAUGUGGCCAUCAGAAUUUGAACUCAGGUCUUGACUCGAAGGCUGGUUCUCUAUCCACUAUGUCGCUAUGACUUUCAGUUAACCUGUAGACAUCUCUGUAAACUCAAUGCAUUGGGAAAAUGUAAAUAGGAUCAGAAGUUUGGAAAUAAUGAGUUAGCUGGCCCAACAUCCAUAUUUUACCAAUGGGAAGUUUGAGGCCAGAAAAGUUAAAUGAUUGUCAGAUGGAUCCAGAGUGGCAGAAGCAGGAUUUGAAUUGGAGUCUUCUCAUUCUAAAUCCAUCACUCUUUCCAUUGUAUCACAAUACCUUGGUCAAAAGAAGAUAUCUUUAACUAACUAGACCCAAUGCUGGUCUCCAAGAUCAGAUAAGAUUAUAAUCAAAUGAAUAAGAGCCCAUGGACUUAAGGGAUCCUUUCCCCUUCUCACUUCUGCCAGUAAUACUAUUACCAAGUAUAUAAUCAACCCUUUUCUUCCCUCUACCUCCUCAGUGUGCAAUUAAUCCUGUAACUUUGCACCUGUGUGACCUUGGGCAAAUCAUUUAACUCCUCUGGGCCUCAGUUUUCACAUCUGUAAAAUUAGAGGGUUGAAGUAGAUGACUUGGGAGGUUCUUUCCAGCUCUAAAGCUCUGGUUCUAUCAUCCUGUAAGUACCCAGAAUUCACAGAGAGGUUAACUCUCUAUCUUCCUCUCCAAAUUUCACCAUUUCUUUAUAAGCCUGGAGGAUUUCCGUCUCUAGCUUACACUACCUUGGCAUCUGAUUCAUGAUUCAAAGCCUCUGCCUGACUGUAAAAUAAGCUUCACAAAGUAACAAUUAAGAAACCAUUUCUGCACAUCUCAAGAACUCAAUGAACCAGAUAAUCUCAGUGUGAAAGGUAGGGCAGAUUGGGAGCUGUAUUCAUUCUUUCCUGCCACUAGGGGACUGUAAAUUAGAAAGUUACUGCCUAACGGUCCUACAAAAGGGCCCAUGGCUCAAAAGAGAGGAGGGCAGCUUCCAGAAGCAGUUCGCCUUGCUCAGAAAUCUGCACCUUCGCCUGACAUUGGUCAAGUGCCUUCCUCUUGUUCACACUCUUCAUUCGAUGAGUACCUGACAAUCCACCAUAUAUUUUCCCCAGAAAAAAAAUCAAUGAAUAGAGUUGUUCAGAUGAAAAGCAUUUGGUAUUGUUCAAUUCUUUAAAAAAGUUUUGUUGUUGUUUAUCUUAUUCCCAGUCCUUUGUAUGCAUCCAUAAAAUAUUUUUAAUGGAUGGUCUGGAGUACCCAUGCUUUAGUGUUUUGUUUGCAAGUAAUUCUCUACAGUGAAUAAUUCUGUUAUUCAUUUACUAUACAAAUUAUUUCUUUAGCAGACAUUGAUUUGAUACUAAGGAAAGGGCAAGUCUAUUUAGUCUGCCAAGAAACAAUUAUAGUCCUUCCUUCUUUACUUCUUUUCUUCCCUUCCUUUCUCUUCCUCCAUCCACCCCCCCCAAAUGCUCUCUCCCCCUUGCCACACAGAAUUCUGAAGCUCAAGUUAGCCACCAGCCUCAGCCUCUCUCAGUAGCCUAGAUUACAGGUAUAAGUCACCACACCUAGCCAGUUACCUUUCCUUUAAAAGACAUUUUCACAUGUGCAUUUUUAAAGCUGUCCCUUAUCAGAAAGAGUGGGUUUUCUAAAAGGAGUGUCUUUUAAAAAGAGAGCAUUCUUUUAAACAAAAAAAAGAAAGAAAGAAAAGAAAAGAUCUAAUUACAGUGGAGUUCAGAUUAAAAUUCCCCUAAAAUGCUUCAGGUCACUGUGUACAGGUGACCUGAAGUGACAAAAUCCUUACUGAAUUGUUAUAGUCUCUGAAUUCUUCUAAAAUAGUUCUUAACCUGGCAUUGGUGAACUUUAAAAUAUUUUGGUAUCAGCUGGAAUACUCCAAGCAUAUUGACUGAAAACCUCAGAUGUUUUGGGUUGACUAGGGAGGAGGGUUUUGCCUGUGGUUUGUGAUCACUAUUCUUUACUAAGAAACACUGAGCAUGACCCUAGGCAACUUCAAACAUUUAAAUUGCUCAUCAAUUGGGUUUUUAUUCCAUUGGACAAAAUAUAAGCCUAUUAGAUUGUCUUCUUUUAGUAAAUGGAGAAAGAAGACAGAAUAGUCUCAUGGAAGAUACACUUAAUAUUCUUUUUCCUUCAUUUGAAAAAAAAAUUCUUUUGGUGGCAGAAUGCAUUUUUUUUGUAUUCAUUAUUUUGUGACAUUAUGAGACAUAUUCUUUGUGGCUGAGAUUCUGAAGGAAAGUAUAUUAUGUAUAUUGGAUGAAUUGAACCACCUAAGUUUCAUUAUUUAGCUGAAAAGCAGUGAAAAGAACAGAGCAGAGAGUAAAAUGACACCACAGUAUAGUGCUUGAAAUCACUGGACAUUGGCCUUAAGUAGAAUUGAAGCAUAGAAAAUUUGUUUGAGUACAGCAGAACAAACAUCUUCCCUUUAUUUGUAGAAAUGGCAACAACUCGAGUUAAAUAAGAAUUUGGUGUUGGCUUAACAUCACUGGGAUCUACUAUUGCUGGAUCCCUAUAGAAAAGGUUGUAUAAAGUUAAACAAUAUAGGUGACUGUACAUUUAUUAUUCCUAUGGCAACUUCUAUUGAAGAUUUAUUAAACAGUAUUCUUUAGAUUUAAAACAAUACAUUGGUAUUCCCCUGAAUUCUUUGGAAAGACAUCUUUUCUUUCUUUCUUUCUUUCUUUCUUUCUUUCUUUCUUUCUUUCUUUCUUUCUUUCUUUCUUUCUUUCUUUCUUUCUUUCUUUCUUUCUUUCUUUCUUUCUUUCUUUCUUUCUUUCUUUCCUUCCUAAUGGGCAGAAUGAUUUAGUUUUAUUUAUUUGUAUUUUAGUUCAUUUAAAUAUUCAACCAUUGUCUAUUUUAAAAUCAUGUUGAACUAUUAGCUGGUUAAUGCACAAACAUAGGCUAUUACAUCAUCAGUUUAAAAGACAAUUUUAAUGCAACCUAAAAUAAACUAGGAUGCGCCAAAAUUGACUUUAUUCCCAAAUUGAUUUUCCGGACACUAUAUGGCUUCUGGGUGAACAUAUUCCCUUUUUGUUCAUUGACCUUUCCAAUGAACAAUGUGGAGUGGUCAGGAAUGAGAAAGGGUAGGGUAGCAUUUACAAGUCAAGGACCCUUGUCUCAGAAUGUUCAGCUGUUGAUAUGCUGCUUCAGCACUGGGGCUGAGGAACUUUCCCUGGUAGCACCUCAGCUGAUGGGUGGAAGGAUGGGGGCUUCUUUGUGAGCUGGGCCCCAGAGUGCACUGGGCUUCCAAGAUUAACACAAGCCCUUGAAUUGCACCCUCCAAAAUGGCAAUGUAGCAAUGCUAAUAGGCGCCCAUUUUGAUGGCAAUUUGGCAGGGAGUCAAAAUUUGGCCCUAAAGCAGAGGUGGUACAAUUAGACAGCUGAGAUGCGUUCUCUGAACACACACUUUUAAUUGAUUUCAGCUUGUUCAGUUCACAAAGAUAGAGCUCUGACACAUAGCAGCUUUCUUAGAGGGGCUUAUUUUUACUUUUCCUUUAUUCAGCAGCGUAAUUCAACAGCAGCAGAAGCAACAAUAAUAAAGAGUUCUAAAGAGAGGGUGUUUGGCAUGGUUUGGAUACAAAAAGUAUUAUUAAGAACUAAUGAGUGAGAUAGUUAGAUGUUAACCGGAAAAGCAUUAAUGAGCAGAAUAGGGUUCUGGCAUAAACAUCUGUUUCUGAACAGAUGUUACCUUGUAAAUCUGCUGAAGAAAUGCCUUUGUAAAUGGAGCAAUGGACCCUUUUAGGUAAUAGGAGGGACAGAAGGAUGUUUUGAGGUUUCCAAACCCAACUUUUCAGCUGUUUUGAGACUCACAAGAGACUGAGUAUUUUAAAGCAAUGAAUCUUCCAGGGCAUUGGGGAGUCACAGAAAGGACUGGCUAGUAGUAUGUGAAAGCCCUGAAGCACAUUGGGUUUGACCAUAUAAUAUAAUAGCCAGCAAGUUUCUGUCCAUUUCAUUGUAUGAAUCUGGGAUACUCAUUAACUGCGAAUUUCAUGCUCCUUGACUUUGGGAGCCUAUGACUGGAAGGAAAAUCCCACUGAGGGCAAAGUUUGUUUUCAGUGCUUCUUUAUAUCACUUUUCAUGUCUGGCUGGGCUUCUGUUCCUAACUCACCUGCAUGUCCAUGGCUUUUGGAGUAUGGUGCUGGACUUGGGGUCAGGAAGACCUGAGUUCAACUCCUACUUUAUAUGCCCAUUAGCUUUGUAACCCUGGGAUAAGACAAGUAAGCUUUCUCAGGCUCUGUUUCUAAAUCUGCAAAAUGGAGAUAACCUUUUUUUACCAGGUUGUUGUGAGACUCAAAUGUGAUCAUGUCUAUAAACAACUUUGCAAACUUUUAUGUAAAUGUUAGCUGUUUAUUUUUUUUAUCUUUCUUCUCCUUCUUCUCUUCCACCAUUUUCCCAUCACUGUACUACUUUCCAGUGCCUCCCCCAAAUUCUAAGACUCUAUCUUCCAUUAAAACUUUCCCUUCAUAGCUGUGUCCUUUUAGUCCCCCAUAUUCUAACUUUAUCCUGACUCUUCUUCCUUCCUCAAAAGGUUCCCUUCAUAACUGUCUCUUUUCACAGUUUUUGAAGCAGAGAUAAUAUUUUGCAAACCACUCUGCAAACUUUAAAAAGCCAUGUAAAUGAUUAUUAUUAUCAGUACAAAUGAAUUUGUGCUAAUGAGGCAAAGCUUCUAUAAGUAUAUCCCUCCUAGGUAACAUACAAGCUAUUUUUUAUCAGGGGGCCUCCAAUGUCUCUCUUCAAAGAUGUGACAAGAGGUAGUAAUGUAUUGUACUGGGAAAUCUCAGAGGGGUUUGGAGAUAAUUAUAAGCUGAACCUUUUGGGGCCCCUCAAAUCACACCAUGUAGGGGACUGCCUACUCUGAGUACAUAGUGAUCCACACCAUCUUGAUAAUAUGAGCACUUAGAAUCAUAAAGUGAGAAAUCAAAGUACCUUUAUAGACCACCUCAGCUAAUACCUUUUUCUUUAAACAUGAAGAAGUAGAUGUAGAGAAAUAAAGUGACUGAACCAGAGUUUCACAGAUUGAACCAGGAUUAGGAUCCAGGUAUUCCGACUCCUGAUCCAAUACUCAUUCCAAACUAUCCUGCUAUAAAGUAUUCCUUUAUCAUAUACCUUGUGCUAUUCAUGAAUUAUUCCUGAUGACAAGUAAAUAGGGGGCCUUUUGUCAGAAGACACUAAAGCAAUUCAGAAAAAAAAAAAAACAUCCUUAAAAUAUGUUGAGAGAGAAAAUAAUCCCUAAAGGAAGUGGAUUUGGGGGGGGGAUAGUAGGGUAUGAGGAGAGAGAUUAGGAAGGGGUUGCAUGAAAUCUCUUUCUUAGCCUUAGAGGUUCUAGUUCAAGAUAACAGUCAGCAGAGUUGGCUUAAUAAUUUUCAUGAUAACUGGUUUUGCUCUCCAAUAUCUUUCAAAAGCUCAUUUUAACUGGCAGCAUAACUAAAUGGUACAUGCUGAAAUCUGUGGAAGUGGUGAGCUGGUUUGCAUCGCCAUAUUGAAUGCUAUCACAAACUCCAAAGACAUGGGGUAGUUUAUCACUUGUUACUGUUGGAAAGGUCCAGGUGAAGCAGAAAGGCACCAUUAAGGAGAAAUAGGAGGUAGUAUAUGCCAGGUGAGUCAAACCAUUGCCGCUUCUUCAACCUAUUGACUCUUCUCAGACUCCAGUGGAGAUAGCUCAUGUCCCUGAACCUAAGAGCCAUGGGAAUAUCAAGGUCCCCCAUACCUCUGACUCUGCUUCUUUCCUAGCCCCUGAGGUCAUCAUCUUGAGGAGCAACCCCAAUGGAAAUGAGAGCUGGCAAACUGACUCUGUAGAUUCUCUUAGCUACUGAAGAAUUAGAAAAGAGGGUUCUCAGUGCCAAAGUCCUUGGUAUUGUCAAAUGAGUUAAAGUUAGGUGCAAGAUGUGAUUUUUCAGUGGAAAUGACAUUUUAAAAGAUCUAGUAUUAUCUGCUUUGCUACUGCAUCCUAACAACCAUGAGAUCUUUCCAUCUGACUUCUCUCCAAAAUCUCUCAUGCUGUUAUUAUUCAGUUGUAUCCGAUUCUUCUUGAUCCCAUUUGGGGUUUUCUUGGCAAAGAUAAUGGAGUGGUUUGCCAUUAUUUUCUGAAGUUCAUUUGACAGAUGAGGAAACUGAAGUCAGCAGUGUUAAGCAACUUGCCCAGGGUCACAGAGAUAAAAAGUGUCUGAGACUGGAUCUGAACUCAAGUCCUUCUGAUUUCAGACCUGGUACACUUUCCAAUAUAGCACUUGGCUACCCUGAAAUCUCCUCUAUGUAUUGACUAUUCCACAGGAAUUCUUAGCCUUUUUUUGUGUCUUGAACCCCACUAACAAUGAGUGUACCCUAAGGCUGCAUCCUGAGUUUUAUUCUUUUUAGUUUUUAUACCAGCAGUUAUCAGACUUUUCAGUCUAAGGACCCCUUGUCACUACCAAAAAAAAUUUUUUUUGAAGAACUUCUAAAGAGAUUUUGCUUAUAUGGGUUAUAUAUAUUUACAUAUGUAUAUAUCAAUAUUUUCCAUAUUUGCAAUUAAAACAUCUUUAUAUUAUUUAGGAAAAAAAUUGAACUUAUAGACUCCCUGAGUCUCAGGAAUCUGUAGGUUUUUGAGAUUUUGAGAAAUUCUGUUUUAUACUGUCUUACUUAGUGAUCCCAUCGGCUUCCAUCAAUUCCCAUGGAUUUAGCUAUCAUUCCUAUACAAAUGAAGCUUACGUAUCUAGCCCUAAAUAUUCUCUUGACCUCUAAAGGUCUCAUAUUAUUAACAACUUACUGGUCUUGAACUGGAUGUUCCUUGGGCAUCCUAAACCCAAUAUGCACAAAACAGAACUCCAUAUCUUUGCCCCCCCGAAAAAACUCCCCUUCCCAUUCCACUUACUAAGCUCCUAUCAAACCUGAAAGUGUCUCUUUAGCUUCUACUCAUUGUUCCUAGUGGUGCCUUCUGAGAUCAAGUGAACAAGUUGAAUCCUUCUACUAACUGAAGAUUCUUCUUGAAGUUAGCUUUCAUAUUCCCAUUAUAUCUUUCCUUUUUAAGGCUAUAAACCCCUUUUCUCCCAGUUCUUUCAACCAACCCCUUAGAAAUCAAUAGCACAGAAACCUUCACUAGCACUCUCCUUAUCAAUGGCCUUCCCAAACAUGUCACCCACUUUUUGUUGAGGUUCCAGAUGCGUUAGGCUAAUGCAAUAUGCAUUGGUGAUAGAUGAAAUCUCUUGAUGAUGAUUUUUUUCUUUCCUGAAGGAAAGUGGAAAACAUUUCUGGGAUUAGACAAAUUUAAAUUUUUCCUUUUGAUGCAUAGGAGUCUUUCACAGUAAUUGGGGGAACCUAUCAUGUGCCAACAAACUGAUUUUGUGUUACUUUCAGUGAAAACUUAUGCUUCAGUGAGGCAUUUAUGAUGCCCAAAGUUAUUGUGACUUCUCAAAAGAUAAGUGACUGCCAUUUUAUACACAAUUAACGUUUGUUAUAAUUCAUGUCUUCCUGAAACCUUUAUUUUCACUGUAAAGAAAGAUGAAAAAUAGGAAAAUAAGUUUGAGUCAAUAUUUUAUGCUUAUUGUAUAAAUUAUUCUCAAUUAAUAGAAUUAUGUUUUGAAAGGGCCUUGAGAGGCCAUUUAGUCUAACCAUUUAAUUUUAUGGGUGAGAAAAAUGAGGUUUAAAGAACUUAAAUUGAAUUCCUUAGAGUCACAGAUGGUAAGGAUUUGAACCCAGAUUUUCCCAAAUUGAAAUCUGGCACACUAACCUCUUUUCCAGUUUGGUAGUUUGCCUCUAUAAUACUUCUUUACUUUAUAAGGACUAUUGCUGUUCAGUUGUUUUGUAAUAUCCAACUCUUUGUGACACUGUAUGAGGUUUUCUUGGCAAAGAUAUAGGACUGGUUUGACAUUCCUUUCCCAAUAGACUUACACAACUAGUGAGUGUCUGAGGUUGGAUAUGAACUCAGGUCUUCCUGACUCCAAGCCCAGUGCUCUAUCUACCUAACCACCUAGUUUCCUUAUGCACUAAAUAAUGUUGGCCUAAUCAGCAUAAUUUCAUUGUAGUAUUUUUUUUAAAGAUUCUAACUAAGGUCCAUCAUAAAACUGUUAACCUCACAACAACCUCCUUAGCCAGUCAUUAAUAUUAUUAAUUAUAUUAAUGUAAUAGAAGGAUUAACUGGGGCUUUGUCCAAGGUCCUAACAGUUAGACUAUCCCAACAGCUCUUGUACAUCUUCAGCUAGUAGGAACAACAGAGUUUUAGCACCUGGUUAUCAAGAAUAGGAUAGAGAUAGGGAAUAGACCUGAGAUUUCAUUAGUUUAGAGAACUUCUGGACUAAGAAAUUCCUCUAAACAGUGUGAGUCAAUGCCAUUUUACUAUUGUUGCUGUUAUAAUUAGAAAUGUCUAAUGAGAUGAGAGUCUAAGUAACUUGUUCAGUCAUUUAGCCAGGAUAUGUCUUAGGAGAGACUUGACCCCAGGCCUUCCUGGCUUUAAAUCCAGCUCUCUAUGCCCUUUAUAAUUUGGUAAGAAAAAAUAAAUCAAAAUAGAAAACUCACAAAUGGUCACUUCCUUCUCUCACUCUCAGGUGAAUAACUCCUCAAAGAGACUCCUUUCUACUACUACUGUGGAGGGAACAAUUUCCUCAGCAACCAAAUCAUGGUGCCUUUGGGAUCAUGCUCUUAAGAACUAGUUUCCUCAAAUCUCUGUCUCCUCCAUAACUCUGUGCCAUUUGAUGUCUCCUCUAAUCCCAAGUCUUCCUGCCCUCUAUCACGAGUGCCCCAAGCUCUAAAAAUACUAGUUAUAGCUUUGCUUUUUAGGCCAAUUAGUUGGGGCCAGUACUGCAGAGACCUUUAUGUCCCCUUCCCUCCCCACAAACUCCCCCAUUCUUACUCCUUUAAUUAGCACCUUGGCUUGGUACUUCAGAUGCUUUGCCUAUGUCUGCCUGGACCCACUCUUUAAACAUUAACAUCCUUUUUACCAGGGGCUCCAGUCUUGCCAUGUCUCAGUUACUUUUCUCUGGUACCAACUACUUCCCUGUUCCCUUAACAUCCUAUUUUAGAGGAAGCAAUAAAUGACAAUAGGAAAGGUCUUUUUUUAAAGUAGGCAAUAAUCUAAUAUAUUAUUAAGAAAGUCACAGAUGGUGAGUGCUUUUCAGCUCAUUUUGCCGACUCAUUAUUUAGUUUAAAAAAAAAUCCUGACUGAAUUUAGAAUUUAGUGAAUAAGUAUGAUGUCUUUUAGACAAUGGAUCAUUAGUUCCUGUAGAAGGAUUUAAGGAUUAACAAAUUUGAUAACUGAAGGAGGGGGAAACCAGGAAUGGAGAAAAGGAGAAAAAAUCUCCUUCUUUCAAUAACAUCCAAUAGAUUUUAUUGUCUCCUUCUAGAACUAAGAAUGUUUGACCCAAGAAAAUGUGUAUAGUUUUGCUAUUUUGGCCCCAUACUAAAAUUCACAAGAAAAAGGUUAGAAGAACUACAAUAUUUGUAACACAUUGGCCAUAAAUUCAAUACAGCACAUAUAAAACAUUCUGUUUCCUAGGGUGUUAUAGCAGAGAUUUAGUAUCAGAAACAUCUGCAUAUGAGCAAUAAAAUUAACCUCUGGUGUGUUGCACACAAUUGUUACUGACAUACAUUAACAUUAGUGACAAUUUGUAUGUGAUUAUCUAAGAUAACAUUUAAUCUGCCAACUUCAAGCUUGCAGCCUCUAAAGCUUCAGCUUCCAUAUGUAUAUAUGCAUAUAUAUGUAUAUUUCCACCAAAGUCACAUAAGCAAAUUUAGAUGCGUGUGUGCUUGUUUUUCAGGGUUUUGAGAUGGUGUAUAUACAAAGGGACUGUUCUAGAACUGAUUUCCCAUUUGAGUGGGAAUUUGUGUGUCUCAUUCUAAAAUGUGACGAGUAAAUAGAAAGAAUGAGAAAUAGUGAUGCAUGUAUCUUCUCAGCAAAAAGGUGGUCAGCUGUAAGUAUGGGAUGAUGUAUUAUAUGAUUACACAUGACUGUGUCGAUUUCAUUUGGUUAACUCUAAUUAUUUGAUGCAAAGAGAUUUCUUCUUGGGCAUAGAGGACAAUUGUUAGAAAGUGAGUUGUUGUUCAGUCUUUUCCAACUCUUCAUCAUCCCAUGGACUACUGUCCAUGGGGUUUUCUUGACAAAAAAAAAAAUUGAAGUGGCUUGCCAUUUCCUUCUCUUCUGGAUUAAGGCAAAUAGAGGUUAAGUGACUUGUCUGGGGUCAUACAGCUAGUAAGUAUCAGAGGGUAGAUUUGAACUUACAUCUUCCUGACUUCAGAUCCAGCUACCUACCUGCCUCACUGGAAAAUGAGAUUCAUGAUAAUUAAAUAAAUUUUUAAAAGUAAAUAAAUAAAAAGAGUGUAGGGCAUUAACAUGGGACUGCUGAGACAUAAUCAAAGGCAUAACAAAUUUGGAGGAUUGUUUACUGUCUGCAUAUUGUAAUUAUAUACCAAACUUUAUCAUUUCUAUGAUUGAAAUAAAAAUGGAUUUUAAAAUGUUACUGAAGCAUCUAAAAGAUUUUUUUAAAGGAUGGGAAGAGGGAGGAAGAGGAAAUGGAGAGGGAAAAAGAGAGGGAAAGGGAGAAGAAUGUUAAUGAUUAGGUAGUUUUUCCUUAUGUCAGACUUAAGUUAUAUUUUUCAAACCAUUACCUUCUGUCUUAGAAUAUUGGUUCUAAGGCAGAAGAGUGGUAAGGGCUAGGCAAUGGGGAUUAAGUGACUUGCCCAGGGUCACACAGCUGGGAAGUGUCUGAGGCCAGAUUUGAACCUAGGACCUCCUGUCUCUAGGCCUGGCUCUCAAUCCACUGGGUUACCCAGCUGCCCCCCUAAGUUAUUUUUUUAAACCAUUAUGUUCUAUCCUAUGUAUUUUUUUCCAAGAUAGAAGAGUAGUAAAGGCUAGGCAAUGGGCAUUAAAUGACUUGCCCAGGAUCACAUAGCCAGGAAGUACCUGAGGUCAGAUUUGAACUCAGGACUUCCCAUCUCUGGGCCUGGUUCUCAAUCCACUUAGCCACCUAGAUGCACCCAAGAAGUCUAUUUUUUACCUUUUAUAAUUAUGCUUAUCUUUGUUAGAUAUAUUAUUCUUAGUUGUAAUCCCAGUUCUUUUGUUCUAUGAAAUGUCAUAUUUCAUGUCCUACAUUCUUUUAAUGUAGCAGCUGCUAAAUCUUGUGAUAUUCUGACUAUAAUGCCACAAUAUUUAAACUGUUUUUGCUUUUGUUUUUGUUGUUGCUUGUAAUAUUUUCUCCUUAACCUGGGAGUUAAAGAGCUUAGCAAUGAUGUUCUUGUGCAUUUUCAUCUUUGGCUGUUUUUGAGGUGGUGUUUGGUGGAUUCUUUUAAUUUCUAUUUUACUAUCUGAUUCUAGAAUUUCUGGGUAGUUUUGCUUGAUCAUUUCUUGGAGUAUAGUAUCUAAACUCUUUUUUUUUUUAAAUCAUAACUUUCUGGGAGCACAAAUAUUCUUAUUUUGUCUUUCCUUGAUCUAUUUGUCAGAUUGUUUUUGUCAUAGGAUGUCUUAUAUUUUCUUCUGUUUCAUUCUUUUGAUUUUACUUUAUUAUUUCCUGUUGUCUUAAGAAAUCAUUAGCUUCUCCUUAUCCAGCAUUAGUUCUCAAUAGAUUACUUUUUUCCUUAGUAUUUCUAGAUCUCUUUUCCCAUUUGGAUGAUCUUUCUUUCACAAUUUUCUUGAUUUUCUUGCAUUGCUCUUAUUUUUUUUCUAAUUUUCUUCAAUUUCUCUCAUUUGGUUUUUGAGGUCUUUUUAAAGCUCUUCUAAAAGCUCUAAGCUUAUAGCUACUAGUUAUUAUUUUUGUGUGUAUCCUUGGAACAGCAAAUGGUAGACCACCUAGUCUCUAUCCCACCAUCCUGGAUGACCCAUGCAAUUGACAAAAAUAAUAAUCUAGGUAAAAACUUCAUCAUUUUAAAAAAUAUACUAUCCUUGUUCCCUACCCAACUACCAAAUAUUCAAUAUUUGUUUGAAUUCUUGUAGGUUUCAAAUAAUCUUCAAGAUAAAAGGUGUCUCAAAGGUCUUAGUGAAGCUUUAUACUAGACUUUUGGGACACUGUAUACAUAAAAAUUGCUAGUGAGUUUUAAAUAAUGACAAUAUCUUCAGUUGCCCAUCUUCCUGCUACUUUCCCCCUAUAAAUGCAUGAGCUGGAGUCAUGCAUUGACUGGCUUUCAGGCUUGACAUUUACAAUAACUUUUUGAUUUAGACUUACAAGGGUCCUGCUCAGAGGAUUUUAUUGCCUCCUAGCUACUUGUUCUAAAAUUACAGUAAAAGAAGAUACAGGGGGUGCUUCCAUCCUUCUGUCUUUUAGUAACUUAGUCUAAUCCUAAGUGCCCUCUGCUGACAUUUGUUUUUACAAUUGCCCUACAGAUAGGAUCAUUAUAGAGUUGUAUCAGACCUUAACGGUUAUUUAAUUACACUCAUUGAAUCUUACAGAAGCUGAUGCAAGUUGUGACCUGCCCCAGAUCACACAGCUAGUUAGUUGCAGAACUACAUCAUACUCGAGGAUUCAUGAUUCCUAAUUCAGUCAUCUUUCCACUAUAGCAUUCUGCCUACCUAGAUUUGCCAAGGCCUUUGGGAGGGUUUCUUGAUUCAGUGGUAGUCACCAGGAUCUGCACAGAGAGAGAGGUCCCAAGCCUUCCAGUCAAGGAUAGAGUGUUAGAAAAGGGCUGGUCAGUAGAGAAAUGGAAGGGAGCCAUCUUGUCCUGUUGGCACAUAGCCUCCCCCUACCUCCAGGCUUCUCUGGAAUCCCAGUGACCCUGCUGUCUAAAAUCUUUUUUUUUUCCUCCCAAUGAAUAGCUCCCAAGAGGAUCAUUGGCUGAGUUUAACAACAGGGGGGCCUUAGCUCCUCCAUUAUCAUCAUGUCAAUGCAAUCACUGGGAAUUACUGUUGAGGAUUUAAAGUCACUUGGGAAUAAUUUAGCCAGGCUGGAGGGGGGAAAAACACAACCACAAACAGAUUGUUAAAAACUAAUAGCUGAAAAGAAACAGGAAAGCAAAACACAAUGGGAAAAGGUAUGGCUGGGACUAGAAGCUCUAAAAUUGUGAAUAAGUGGUAUAGGUUUUAGAAUGAUCUGUUUGUUAAACACUUUUGAUCAAGUUGGAUACACAGUGAAAUCAAGAGGAGCAGCUGCUCCCCAACUCUCAGCAUUGCUCUGUUACAGAACUUGUAACAUUGCUAUGCUCUGGGCAUCUGUUACUGAGAAUACCCGGAGAUUCUGCCAAAAGAUCUCAGCUUGGCAUAAGAAAACUUGAAAUUUGGAAUGCAAUUGAGAGAAAUGCUUCCUUCUUUGGCUCCAGGAAGGAUUCAGUAAGUAGCAGUACUCAGUGAGUUUUCCUUAUCUUCGUGGAGGUUUAAGACAGUUACGAUUUUCUAACUUUUGUAGUUAUCCUGGAUUACAAGCAAAGGACCAUAAACAUGUUUAUGUUCUGUUUUGAGAAGGACUUGACAUUUACAAUUACUUUUUGAUUUAGACUUGCCAGGGUCCUGCUCAGAAGAUUUUAUUUCCUCCCAGGCACUUGUUUUAAAGUUACAGUAAGCUGCCACUAGGUGGAUGGUGUUUGCUUGAUUUAUGAAUGUUUCACUGAGGUGGCCUUGUAGGUUAAUCCUAAAGGAGUGACUAAUUGAGUCAACGAGAAUGGGGGCCUCAGACCCCAAUAUAGUACUCCAUAUAUGGUCUGACCAGGGGAUCUUGAGCAGGAUGCUGAUAAGACAAAGGCUUCUGAUUUUCCAUUUAAAAAGGAUGAAUUCUUAUUCAUCUGGUCCAUCUUACCCAAAUAUGCAUUUUUAAAAAUAAAAUUAUAAACAGAAUUAUUUAUCCUAAGAGCUCAAAAAAGAACAAAGAUGGCUGAAAAGAUUUAAAAGUCAUCUUUUCCAGUCACAUUCUAUGAGUUGAGCAGUUGCCCAGUAGGCCAUGAAGAGACUGCAGAACCUCCUGUGUAUAACCCAGUCUUGAUUAUCUGCCAGAGUAUUAUCACAUGCUUUGGAUCAUAACUUUAGGGCUAGAAGGAAUUGUGGUAUCCAUUUAGUUCAGUUCCUUAACAUGAGGAAACUAAGUCCUAGAGAGAUUGCUAAGGCUACAUAUAUAAGCAUACGUAUAGAUAUAGAUAUGGAUUGAGAGAGAGAAGGGAAGGGAGGGGAAGAGGAAAAAAAAGAGGAACAAAGGGAGAUCACAUUUAUUAAGUGUUUACUACAUGCCAGGAAUAAAACUAGAAAGUACCAAAAGUAAAUAAUGUAAAUAAUGUAGGGCUUCUUGAUCCUCCUCAUCUGGAUUGUAAUCUAAUAAUAUUAGUUCUAAACAAGGAAGAACAGAAAGCAGGAUCAGAAAUAUAGCAGAGCAAUAUAUAAUGAGAGCUGAUGUUUUUAUCAUUCUUUUACGUUUACAAAGCCCUUUAUGUAACAUUAUCUCAUUUAAUCUUAACAGUAGCAGUCAGAGGGAGGUUACUGCAACUAUUAGUUGCCUUUUCUACAGGGGCUCUGAGAAAUUAAGUGGGUUGUUUAAUCAGGGUCACACACUAAAAGUCAAAGGUAGAUAUUGAAUCCAGGUCAUCCAAGAUGAUAUUCCAGAGCCCUGGGCUUUCUCAGCUACAGUGUAAAUGGUGUCCUAAGUGUAUGCUGUGUCACCACCAACUCUCCAAAGUCAAAUGGAAAUAACUUUUGAAUUAACCAUUGUUUUUGUAUUUUCUACACCUCUUUUUCCCACCUCUUCUGUUUAGUGUUAGUAGAUAAUCAAGAGAUGACUAUGUAUUCCUGCUUUUCUUUCACUCUGCAUAAUGCAGCUAUAUUAGAGCUAUUCUCUUGGUUUGUAGGAUUUUUCUUAAAAUGAAAAGGGAAGUUAAUCAAGCUUUCCUGCCUACUAUAAUUCCAAGAUUGGUGGUGAAUGCCUCUCCAAAUGAAUAUUUUUUUUUUGUUAAAUCAGUGCCCACACUUGGAAAGGGAAUAAUGAGAAAAGGAGAGAGAGACCACACACAAAACUUAGGUUAUCCAAAUGAGCCCCACUCAAAAAUAUUCUUUAUAGUCAACAGAGAACUCAGCAGGACUUAAAGAUGGAGGUACUUCAAAUUCCAUUUCCUUGUCCAGCACAAUUGGUAGGGUAACAAUUCCAAAAAAGACUUCCAAGAUUUCCCCUUUUGUACAGAAAGAUGUCAUCUCUGAUGUCCUCUGUUCCUUUUGCUUCAUUUCCUAGUACCUGGGACUAGUAGGGAAGUAAGGUGGUAGCUUUAUUCCAAAAGUUAAGUGCUUUAGGAUCUUUAAACCAUAUGAUGAGUUAAAUGGCAUGAAGGUCAUAAAUUAGAUUACUAGCAUCCCCUAUUUCUUAACCAGAAAAUAAGUAAGUCUCAUCUAUGAUCUUACACAUCACAGGUCUUAUAAUUUUCUCUUCUGUGGAUGAAUGCUGACCUACCAUUGAAAGGGGAAAGAAAGUUAGUUUAUCCAGGGGUAAAAAUUCUAAUGAGCAAAGAUUCUAUUAUUAAGGAAAGGAUCCUCAACUAUGACUAUUUAAACAUGAAAAUGCAUGUGUAUAUAUAUAUAUAUAUGUAUAUAUAUAUAUAAUAUAUUAUUUUCUAACAAGUAAGAUCAAUCCCUUUACAUUCACAAAAGGAAGAAUGGCACUUCUAGAGUUACAAAAACCCUAAAUAGCCAAGCUAUAUAUAUAUAUAUUUAUAUGUAUAUAUAUAUAUAUAUAUAUAUAUAUUUGUUAAAGGCUUAUAUUCAUUAAAGGAAAGUUCUUAUCAAUUACAAACUAUUAUCAAAUAAAGGGCUACAGUUAUAGGCUAUCUGGCUCCUACUUUGCAGAGCAGAAGGUGGGAUUGGAGAUGGGGAUUAUUUCCCCCUUUUUAUUUUACUUUUCCUUCUACCUCUAUAAAAUUCAUUUAAUUUUUCAAGUUUGAUGAAUAAAAAUGGUAACUGAUAUUAUAUCAGCAAAAGUGCGUUUAAAGGUUAUUCAGGUCUCUUUAAGGCUUCUAGUUUGGGAUUUUCCUGUACUGAAUGAUCAUGUAAGCAGUGUUAGGUUUUAGAACAUCAAAAGAUUACCAGGUUUGUAUUUGAAGGGGCUAAAUGGUGAAAAACUCCAUUGGGGGAAACAGCUGGAAUAGAUGUCAUUGUUGUAGGAUACUAAAGUAGACAGAAAUGAAAAAGGCUAUUUUUCAUCACUAACUCCUCUAUGAGAAGGCUUCAUUUUCUUUUGUUGCUUUGUAUUCUGAUUGGAAUUUUAAUAGCAUCAUCACCUAUACUCAAAAUGAAUGUAUGUACUCACUCAGAUUCACUGCAACAGGAGAAAAAAAUAAAUAAACCUGUAAUAGGAGAGAAGCAUUCAUUCAGCUUCUGAUAUGAUGAAGUGGAAACAUUUAGAAGUUGCUUCUAAGAAGGGUAGCACAUACUUUGAGAAAGGAUAAUCUGGGAUAGAAUCCUGCCUCUUAGACUUAAGUAUCAUAUGUAUAAAUUACUAACCGUCUUUGAACCUCAAUUUCCUCAUCUGAAAAACAAGGACUUAUAAUAAGUACUUUAGAGAGUUGUGAGAAUCAGAAUAUAUAAGGUAAUUUACAAAAUGAAAAUGCUACAUAAAUGUCUGAUGUUAUUAAAUUAUACUUUCAGAGCUUGGCAUAUUCUCUAUCAAGUCAGAUCAUUUGGAGAGAAUUUAUAGGUGAAACCAGAAGGACAAUAACAAUAACAACAAUAACAACAAAAACCAAACAGGAAAAAAAUCAGUCAAGAUUUUUUUUUCCAUCUGUGAUAGUGGAGCCAUCACAUUGGGAGUCACUCUAAUGUUACAGUCCUCAAGCUACUUCAUGGCUUGAAAGAAAAAGACGGGAAGGACUACUGCCAGACCAAAUAGGAGAGGGGAGGGGAGGGGAGGGAGCUAUUCAAUUUUGAGGGCGGAGCUCAUGAAAAAUAGGAGAGGGAGAAAAAUACACUAAAUGCAUGUCGAAAAGUCAUGAAAGGUAUUACUGCCAAAAAUGGUUAAGAUAUCACCAAUAACUACCAAUCAAUCUUUCUCAUCUCUUUGUUUUUAAGUCAGAUUUACACAAUUAUUAAGGACAGUUUUGGUAAAAAUAUGAGAAGGGAAAAGAUAAGCUUUCAUAAAUGAUAUUUUAGGGUUGGCCAUAUCUUUAUAGCAACACAGUUGACUUAAUUGUGGAUAUCUAAUAUCCCACUGUGCUUAUGAAUUUUUUUCUGUUUUUUUUUAAAGCAUUUUAUUCAGUUCAGCAAAAUGCUUCCCUAAAGGCUCCACUCUAAUAAUAUAUCUCCCCUGAAUAUAUGAGACUCAUAAAAGAUUUCUUUAAAGAUCCCUUGAUUGUCACAAAAGGGAUGAAUUUGCUUGAUGACUCUCUAAUUAUUAAUAACAAACAAUGCAUGAAGCAGAGAGAUAUAUGCUUCCCAAAAAUGUUUGCCACUAUCAUGAAGGACAUCUAGUGUAGAAUUCAUGUAUUCACUACCUAAUAACCUUGGGUUCUUAGGCUUUGGAUUUUAAAAAUGUUUUAGUGACUUUAUUUUGAUAUAAAGAUUCCUUUGCAAUCCUAUUCAUUUUAUUUUAUGCAUUUAAAACCCAUUGCUCUGAGACAAAGUCCAUAGACUUCAUUAGACUGCCCACAAGGUCUAUGACACAAAAUAGCUAAGAACUCUUGCUAUAAAUGGUGAGAUGCUCUGAAAGGCAAUGUUGUACAGUUACAGUGCAUUCUGUUUCAAGUCCCACAACAUCACAAAGCCCCCUUAAUGAAGGCCUUAAUCACUUAAUAAAUCUUUGACAGCUAUUCAGAUAGAAAAAAUUAAGGAGAUGAAAAAUAUUUAUUGUCCAAACAUUUGAGCUGAUCCAUCACUACAUGUAUUGAUAAAACAUUGAAAAUGGAUAAUGAAUUGGACAGAAAUGUGAAUGAAAGAAUAAAAUGGGGGUAGUACUGCUGAUAAGAAAGUCAACAGUGCUGUUAAUAACACUAAAUUUUCUUAAAAAAGAAUGAUUUUUAAUAUCAAUAUCCUUUAAGUGAUUCCAGAUGACUAUGAUAAAUAGAAUGACAAAGAAUUAGAAUUGUGGAUCACUGAAAGGGCAAUGGAGAGAAACAGUACCUAUUUAGACUUGAAGCUAUUACUAACAACAAAUUAGGGGCAAAGAACAUCAUAAAAGUUGUCAUCAGUGACCAGAAAAGUUGGUUUUCCAGUCAUGUAGCAAAAGGAAGAGAUAACAGAUGGACAGCCUACAUGCUUCAUUGGUAUCCAUGUAAUGUUAAGAGACAAACUAAGAAGGGCCCUAGCAUGUUGGAUAGACCCCCUUGGGCAAUUUAUAGGAGCACAUGGAAGAGCAUAGUAAAUGAGAUAUGUGUGUGUGUAUGAAUAUGGAUAUAUCCAAGGUGUCUUAAUGAAUUUUAAAACUUGAAGAGUUUUAAACUUCACUAAGACUUUUGAGAUAUCCUCUGUAUGUCUUUAGGAGCAAUACCUGUGUCAAAGAGUAGGACUGGCAUGUAGACAAAAUUUAAAGACUACAUAUUUCUCAAAAGAGAAAAAUAUGUCAUUAACAAUUAAUAAUGCCAGUACAGUUAGGUGACUCAAUGGAUAGAUCACCAGAUGUAGGAUUGGAAAGAUCUGGGUACAAAUAUGAAGUCUUCUUAGCUGUGUGACUCUGGGCAAGUCACUUAGCCCCAUUUGUCUUGCCCUUGCCCUUCUGUCUUAGAGUUGUUAAUAAAGCAAAAAGUAAAGGUUUAAAAAAAUUUUUAAUUAAAAAGUAUUUUAAAUAAUGCCUUACACAUAGACUAGUAAAAAAUUAGCCAAGUGAAUCAUCAAGUGCCUAUAUGUCCUAAAGAUCAUGCUAGGCACUGGGAUUAAAGAGAAAAGUGAAACAAUCCUUAUCUUCAUUGGUUUACAUUCUAUCAAGGAACAUAUAUAUUGGCAUAGGCUUAUAUAAAAUCUAACCAAAACAAGUAUAAAGUAAUUUGUGGGGGAUGGUAAUAGCCGCUAGUGGUAUCUGGACAAGCUUCAAGUAGAAGAUAAAAUUUGAGCAGAGUCUCUUACAGGAAAAUCGGGUGUUUUAAGAAGCAAAGGUAAAAAAGGAAUACAUUAUAGGCAUGUAGGACAGCCUUUCCAAAAGCAUGGAGAUAAGAGAUGGAAUUUUGCUUAAGAAACAGCAAGAAGGCCAAUUUAGUUGGUUAAUAGAAUGAAUAGAAGAGAGAAAUGGGUAAUAAGGCUAGAAUAAUUAGUGAUAACUAGUUUGGAAGAGCUUCAAAAGCAAAAAAAAAAAAGAUGAAUUUGUAUUUGGUCCUGAAGUUAAUUGGGAGCCACUAAAGUUUAUUGAGUAAGGGAGCAAUGUGUCAGACCUCUUUUUUGAGGAAAAUCAUGUUGGUAGUAUGUGAAGGAUGAAUUAGAGUGAGGAAAGGCCUAAGAUCGACUACCAAUUUAGAGACUUUUUCAAUAAUUCUGUGGAGAUGUGAUAAGGGCCCAAAUGAGGGUUUGGGAGGUAUGUUAAGAGAGAUGGGUGAAAGCAAUGUUAUGGAGGUUAUAGGUAUUAUGGAAAUGAAUUUACAAGAAAUUAAGCUACCAUUGCCCUCAGAGUGACUUAAGUGGAAGGGACACUACCUUGAGGAUGUGGGAAUUACGAUCUUGUCUCAGAAAGGAGAGUGAACCUCUACCAAACUGUAAAGAAACUGGGAUUAAAAGAAAAGUUUUCACUCAUUGGAGAAGCAGUGUAUAGCAGCAUACAUAAUGUGGCAUUAAAAUAGGUCAUUUAAAUCUCCUUUGGCUGUGAGUUAUUAUCAUGAUUACUAAUAUCAAUAUUAUAAUUAUUAUUUUAUUCUGAGUGCUUCCAUUUGAGAAUUUCAAGGGAAAAUGUAGUGAACUGGGAACAUAAUUAUUUCCACAUCUAAAGACUGUAAAAUUGUAGAGCUAGAAGAAAACCUAAAGGUCAUCUAAAUCACCCUGUUCCCUCUCCCAGUUUUAUAAAUGAAGAAACUGGCACUCAGCUAGGUGAAAUGACUUUAUAUAAGAAGGUUAUUAGAGUUCCAGUUCCAGUUUUGUUUUAAUGUUAGAUACUAAGUACAGAAUAAAAAGAAACAUUAAUAAUUCAUUAAUGAUGAAAUCCAGAAGUUAGAGAAGAAAAUUCUGGAUUUAGAGCCUUAGGUUCAAAUCCUAUAUUUGUCACUUGAUAUUUAUCAAGUGACCUUAGGAAUGUCACCUAACCUCUGUGCGUCUUUAUUUUGCUUAUCUGUAAAAUGAAGGGAUUGGCCUAAAUGAUCUGUAAGGUCCCUUUUGGCUCUGAUCUGUGAACUGGAAAAGAACUUAGAGAUCUUAAAGUCUGCCCCUCCUUCCCUUCAGUUUUCAGAUGAUGAAACUGAGGUCCAGAAAGAUUAAGGUACAUGCCAGAAGAUAGAGAGGUAGCACCUAGCAAAAUGAGAUUCAAAAUGAGGUCUUCGGAUUUCAACUCAUGUUUUACCAUACUCCACUGUUUCGUUUCCAAAAGCCAUGUCCUCUCUCAUUGUCAAAAGGAACCAAGGAUUGUUCAUUAUUUACUUGUUUCAGUUGUGUAUAAUUCUUCAUGAACCCAUUUGGGGUUUUCUUGGCAAAAUUAUUGGAGUGAUUUACCAUUUCCUUCUCCAUGUUAUUUUACAGAUGAGGAAACUGAGGGAAACAGGGUUAAAUGACCUGCUUAUGGUAACACAUCUAGUUUGUGGCUGAGUCUGGAUUUGAACUCAGGAAGAUAAGUCUUCUUGAUUCCUGACCCAGCAGUACGCAUUCCACUAUGCCACCUAAUUGCCCUCAGUUGAAUGAACAUCAAAUUUGGCAUAGUGAUACAUUUACUGUAAUUUUAUUCAAUAAAAAUCUAUGCAUCAAAUCAAAUUUGAUAUGCUUCCCUCGUUCCCCACAACGACCCAUGUAACUACUCAUUUUAACCAUUUCAUAUGUAUAUGCUGUGAGAAGUAUUUCUUUCCCAUGUGAAGACUGCAGAAAAUGAGGCUAGCUUGUUUAGAGGGAUUUCAGCUCAACAAAUAUAUAGUAAAUAUAUACUCUGUGCUAAGCCCUGUGGGGAGUGCAAAAGAAGUUUAAGACAUGGUCUUUGCCCUCAAGGAGCUCAGAGGAAAUAGGACAUGUACUCCAGCUGCUGUUCAGCAGUUGUACGAGUUCCAGGAUGAUUGUAUAAAAAUUGGGAAUGCAAUAAUAAAUUCUAUGUUUACAGAAUGGAAAAAUUAGUGUGAUUUGGUUUAUUUCCAAAAGGGAGAGAAUAAUCGAUCUAAUAUCAGCUUUUUGCCGGUGUCCCCAUGAUGUCAUAGGAACUCAAGGAAUGCCCCCACCCACAACCCAAAGCAAACUUAUGGGAGGAUGUGGAUGGGCAGGCAUGUGUAGGUUACACUCUGCAUUACCAGAGGGUCUGGUAGAUCACAGGGUGGCUGAAAUUAAUGAAUGGAUAGGAUGUGAGGGGUGACCUGGCAGCUGCUAGAGAGAGUGGGCUAAUAAAAUAUGCACUCACUUAACCAACCAAGAUUCAAAUGCUGUCUUCUCUAUUAAGAAUCUGAUAGACCCAUCCUUUAUAGUUUGAUCCACUUUGGCAGUAGUUCACGUACUUAUUUCUACAGAUUUUCAAAAUAGAACUGUGUUGGCUGGGUUCAGUAACAUCUGCUUUGGAAGAUUACUUCAACUAUUGGCAGCAUCCAAGCUGUGCUUCAAAAAGAUCUUUGGGGCUGGGGUAUAUCCUUCAUCAUAUUACUAUAUUUACUUGCCUUCUAAUCCCUCUCCAGUGUUUUACACUGUAAGACAAUGUCUCAACAAGGUCUCUUUUGUAGUUUUUCCUGUUUUUCGGUGUCACAUUGCAGCUAGUCAAUGGCCCAUUUCUGUUGAGUUCAAGAAGCAAUUACUGCUUUUUUUUUUCCUUCUGAGAAAGAGGAGUGGUUAGAGUAAGAAAUUAUCUACAUUCUGAUAAUGUCUUUGCUUUGCUGAACAUUUCAUGAAUCUUUCAUUCCUGAAGUCAUCCAGAACUCGAGUUUUCCCUUCAUUUGACAAAAAACUUGGGGACAGAUACAGUAGGAUUAUGAGUGAUUUCAGAACUAGAAACAUCAGUAGAUAAUCCCUACCCAAUUUGACUAUAAGAUUACAACUGAAAAACAUCUGUACCAGGAUUCAGUGUUGCCACAGAAUGAGGGAGCUGACAUGUGAUUAAAAAAAAAAAACAAUAAGAUGACUGGAGAUUUGUGCUUAUACAAUCUAUGCUGUACUUUCAUUUGUGUACUCUUUUAUUCUCUGUGGUUUUAAUAUCAAUUUGGAGACAGUUGCCUUGUCUUUCUUUUUUUUGAAUUAAUGUUGUCUGUCUUAGCUUAUAAAAUUUGAGAGGGUAGAUAGACAUUGUUUCUAAUUCACCCCACAUAUUUCUUAGAAUUAUUGAUGAAUUAAGAUCCCCUGAGGCCCUAGUGCUCUGAAGCUUUUGGGGAGGAGGUGCCUCAUGAUUUGAAACAUUUUAAUAAAACAACCAACUAUGAUAUCAUGCUGAAAAGAAUUUUUAAAACAUUACAAUGUUAUUUAAUGGAAAACAGACUUAUUGAUCAAUUUCAUGUAUGUAAUUUUUUGUUUUGUUUUGUUUUUUAUAUAUAAUCUAUAUUUUAGAACUCUUAAGUUACUGGAAAUAUCUCAUGAGAGACAAAAAUAUGAGGCCUUGAUAUAUGCAUUUCUCUAACAUUUUCUACUCAUCUCACAUCUUAAGAACAUUUCCAGUGGUCCAUAAGGAGCAGGGAUCCGAAAGUUCCACAGUGGUUACUUUUCAGAAAUCAAACCUCCAGAUCAGUUAGUGGCUUUGAGAAGAUGCUAGUGGAAGGAGCUGCUGCUCUAGACCCCAGGCUUCCAUUCUUUUAAAGGGUAAAUUCCAAGCCCAAGAGGGGAGAGAUCCAAGGUACCUAUGUUGCUCCAUUAACCUUAGAGAUCUUAGCACAUAUCUAAUGUUUGUAAAAAUUAGGACCCUUUUCACCUAGAUGUUUAAACAUUUAAUAAAGUUUUGCAGGACUGAUUUUAGAUAGCUUUUCAAAUACCUAAAAAAAAAAGUGGACAAUGCCAUUCCUUUCAAGACUCAGCCCAAAGUCCACCUUCUGCCAGUGACUUUUUCCAUUUCUCGCCCAACCAAUCCAGUGCUAUUGCUUCUCCUUUCAGAUUACCUUCCAUAUACUCUGGAUGUUUUUUAUAUACCAAGUUAUUUACAUGUUGUAUUCUAUUAGACUGUAUGCUCCUUGAUGGGGGGGGGAGGGGGAAGAGGGACUCUUUUUGCCAUUCUUUUAAUCUCCAGCACAUAGUUAAUAAUAAAUGUUUGUGGACUGACUAUUGGUUGACCAAGGUGCCACCUCCUACAUGAAGUUUUUUUCUAAUUCCCUAGUUGCUGGCACUCUCUUGGAGUGCUAAGCUCCCAUAGGGCAACUGUUGUUUUUCAUUUUCUUUUUUAGAUACCUAGACCCUUCAACACAAUAGGCAUAUUAAUGCUUGUUGAAUUGAAUUAUUUUCUUUACUUCUUUGUGAGCAUCUAGGACUUAAUAUAGUGACUUAAAAUAGAGGAGUUAAUUUCAUUUGUUUUGGUUAUUAAUGCAAGGAACUCCAUUCUUAUUAUGAGUUAUUUUUGUAGAAGGAAAGGCUGCCCAAUUCACACUCAUUCACAUUGCUGUGUCUCUAAGUACUAAGCUGUGCCAGACCAGACCAUUUUUUACAAGCUUUAACUGCUUAACUGUUCAUGUUUGUGUUCAUCUAGUGCCUAGUAGAAAGAAUUCUAUAUUGAUCAUUCUUAGAACAGAGGACCCACUCUUAUGUAAAUGCAUCCUGUCAUAUACUGCAAAAGUAUUUGAGUACAAAUACUUUUUCUUGUUAAUAUGUCAGCAAUAGAUUUUCAGUUUAUUUUACAAAGCUUCACUAAUCUGAGAAUCAUAGAAACCUCCAAUAGACAGAUAAAUGACUCAUAGAGUCCAAUCCCCUGCCUUCUGGCAGGACUACUGUUAAAGUCAUGCUCUGGAGAAGAGGUUUUAGGCAUGAAACUCAUUUCUUCUUCCUGUCCUACAGCUCUUAGUAAGAUAGGAUGAUAGGAUGUUGGCCUGCCUAAAUAAACCCCACUUCAAUAAACAGAGACAGCUUUGCCCAAGAGAGAGAAGGAACAGAAAUAUUUAAUGAAGAUUUUGAAAGCAUAUGGACUUUGAAGGAAAUUUAUAGCUCAGUAUAAAUAUUUAAAUCCAUCCAAAACUGCUUCUAUAAAUUGAGGAUAUAAUUCGUGGUAGUAACCCUAAAGACACAGACACAAAUAAAUAGGUUAAAAUUAGAUUCUCUCUCUCCUAGGAUGAGUUACAUAUAUACCUAAAGUCACACAUUAAUCACAUAGCUAUUAAACGAGUGGUCCAGGAUUAGAACACAUGUUCUAUAGCUCCAAAUCACUAAAUCCAUUUCUUCUGUACCAUACUGCCUUUCUUAGAUUUCUAGAUUUUUGUGGACACGAGAUAAAUAUUGCAACGUGGGAACUAAUUCAGAUGUUUAAUUAUACAAAUGAUUUGGGUAGAAAAUGGGGUUUCUGUGUAAUAGACACAACAAAGGCCAUUGGUCUCUCUGUAAGGAGUUAUUCCAGGGGUGAAUAUAAAUAGGUAUAAUCUCCAGUUUACAAAUAUGAAAUGUUCUAAAGUUGCUUGUUGGGAAUCUGGGAAUCAUUUCCCCAUACAGACAGUGCUAUAAAUGAUAAUGUUACAAUAUUAGCUCAUAAAAAAGACUAGCAAAUUUUCAUAAUGUCUCUCAACUGUUACACUGAGAGAACUAGAAGACUUUUUUGUGUACUAGUUAUGUUUUCUUUUCUUAAGAAUGUGUGGUAUAACCAAGCAUGGUGGCAUGACUACAAUCCCAACUACUGGGAAAGCUGAACCUGGAGGAUCUCUCGAGCUUAGGAGUUCUGUGCUGUAGUGGGUCUUGAUGCUAAAAUGACAUCAAAAGGGUGAGCCCCUGAGUGUAAAAGACAAAUAGAUUGUCUAAGUGGGGACAAAAUGGCAUACAAGGUCAGAAACAGAACAAGUCAAACUCCUCAGGUCAAUCAGUUCAGUGGUAUAGUUAAAGGUUUUUCUUAACCUGGAUUAUUGUAUUUGUUAAAGGUUAAGAAUAACAGCCCCUUUUGUUUAUUCCCCUGUAUAAAACUUUAUAGGCAGUAACUAGGUGGCCCAGUAAAUAGUACCAAGCCUGGAGUCCAGAAGAUCUGAGUUCAUAUCCAGCCUCAGACAAUUUCCAGCUCUGUAACCUCUGAUUGCCUAUCAAAAAAGGAUCUCUUUGAAGAAGGAAAUAGCAAACCACUCCAGUAUCCUUGCCAAGAAACCCUCAUGGAUAGCUCUGGUCCUUGGGAUCACAAAGAGUCAGAAAUGACUGAACAAAAACAAAUAAACCAUAUAAGGUCCAUUAUAUUAGAGUCAUUUCCCACCAGUUUGCCAUCUUGGCAGAACUGGACCUCUCUUAGGUAGCUAAAUGGUUUAGUGGAUAAUGUGUCAGACAUUGAGUUAGGAAAACCUGAGUUCAAAUUCAGCCUCAGACACUUAUUGGCUCUGUGACUUUUGGUGAGUCAUUUAACCCCUGCUUACCUCAGUUUUCUAAUUUGUAAAACAGGGAAAAAAUAAUCCUUGCCUCCCAGAGUUCUUGCAAGACUCAAACAAGAUAAUAAUUGGAAAGAGACUGGAUCAAUAUGCAUAUAUUCUAUCUAUUACAAAUUUUUCUUGAAACAUUCUCCUUUCUCAUCUCUGUUUCUUAUAAUACUGAAUUUCCUGUAAGGCUCAACUAAGAGGCUCCUUGCUACAUAAAGCCUUUCCUGAUCUCCUAGUAGAUAUAAUUUUCUCCUCCUCACUAUACUCCCUCUUCAAUACUUUGCAUUUACUUUAUAUGAAUUCUCUGCAUUUACUUAGCUCUGUUCAUAUUGUAUCCCUGCAAGAGAAUGUAAUCUCCAUGAAGGCAAGAACUAUUUCUUUUUUUUGGCUGUAGUGCCAGCACUUUAAACAUAGGAAGUCCUUAAUAAAUGAUCUUUGAAUUAAAAUGAAUAUUUUGAUGCACCCAAAAGACAAAGUUUAAGGCUUCUGAAAUAAUAAGGGGGAAAGAUUGUUUUCUUCCUUGAUUGGGUAAGUGGUAUUGGUCCCUGGAGGCAGGAGAGAGAAAGACAUCCUCAAGAUAGUACCGACUUUGAGGCAGGUGUUCAGAAUGAAUCUUGGUCUAUUACAAAUAUGAACAGUGCUUUUCUAGGGAAAGUUACUGGGUCUCAACCAGAGAUGAGGACUAUUAAAAUGGAUCAGGGAGUUGUUUUAAAAGCUCUCUACUAUUACAAAAGGUAUAUGUUUUGUCUGAAAAAAGUCACUAAAAUUGCUAGAAGAUAAUUUUUUUAAGCAAACACUGCUUUUGAGCUCCAAGGGCUGACAGCUGUUCCAGUUUUGCUUGGGGACUUUUUCACAAUGUGGAUUAAUCAAUGUUAUGAACUGGGUCCGUGGGGUUUUGGGAAUGUAAUUGGUUUCAGAUGACACUUUGCUAGUCAAUCUGUGAAACAGCCGAAUGUUGACACAGCUGAACAAUUCCAGCUGUUUCCACUGGCCCCUUCCUCUCUCCCUGGACGCUACAUCCUUUCCCUUUAUUCUUGUCUGCCCUCUCUCAUUGUGACUUUGCUAAACUAAUUUGUUAUCUUUUUUAAUUUUCUUUUUUGCCUUUUUCUUCUCUGGGGAGGCACAGGUCCCUCUGUGCUGUGUUUCUUCCAGUGCGUUAUUUUGGAAGUUUUAUUUUUUCUCUUGCUAUUAAAGUCUUCUAAAUGAAUAAUGCUUUUAUACUCCUUUUUGUUCUUGGCAAUUACCUAGUUUGUUUGUUUAAGGAUAUGCAGCAACAAAUUUGGGUCUUAAACAACUGCUUGGAAUCAGUGACUAUUCAGUGUUCAAGAUGGAUGAUUAACCUUUUUUGAAAAUACUGAAGUUGUACUAAGGCAAGAUUGGAAUAGACAGUACAUGCUAUUAGCUUCAUUCAACACUUGUUUGUUUUAGAUGUACUAGUCAAUGCAUUACUCUGAAAUGGAAGUAGGGAUUUAGGUGUCAGUAUUACUGUUUAGAGAGCCAUAUGAAAAGGGGUUUGGGGAUAAAGCAAACUACAGUCAAUGAGUUAUGUUCAGUAUAUUGAGUUUAUGUUCUGUCCCAGGAAUGAAGCCUAAAUUGCUUUCAGUGAUUUUUUUCUUUAUCAGAGAUUAAUUUCUUUUUGUGUUUUAAGAAUACUCAUUUUACCAGCACAUUGAACCAAUGCAAGAAUCAUUUCAACACUUUCAAGUGCUGUGGCUGUUGCUCUUUUUAUGACAGAAUUACAGACUGUCAGAGUUAGAAGGGAUCUCAGAUACUUACUUGUCCAUGAUCCCCUUUGCAACAGAUCUGACAAAUGGCCAUGUCAGUCCACCAAUCAACUAAUAUUUCUUCCUUGCCCAUCAUGUGACAGUCUGAAGACUUGCCAUGUGCUGGAAGCUUAUUGUCAUCCGAAACACCCCAUAUUAUUUUGUAGUAGCAAUAGUUGUUAAGAAGAUUUUCCUUUCAUCUAGCCUAAAUUUGCUCUUUUGAAAUUUUUACUCUGAACUCUUUUGAAAUUUUUACUCUGAACAGAAUUCCUGUGUUCCAUAUCCUGGACCUUCAAAUACUUAAAAACAGCUGUUGUGUAUACCCUAUUUCUUCCCUUUUCAAGGUUAAACAAAGCAGAGAGAAAGACUGGGCAAAUGUGAGACCAUCCCACAAGCUAAUUCUCUGUCAGGCAAAGCUAUCCCAUCCUUCUCAGAUUGGUCAUUAGAUUGUGAGCUCCUUGAGGUCAAGGACUAUCUUUUGUCUUCUAUUGUAUCUCCUGUACUUAGCACAGUGCCUAGCACAUAGUAGGCACUUAAUAAAUGCUACUCUGAUUGACUGUGUCUUUAUUGACUUGUGAUUAGCUUCAACCUUGCUGGAUGAUUACCCCAUCCUCUUCUUUAUUGUCAAAGAUGCAGACACUCCCAAGGCAAUCUAAACUACUGAUACCGGAUCUAUAUAGGCAAAGUAAAGGAGUCAGUUGAGCAAAUAUUUGGAAACUUUGAGCAGUGUACACAACUAGUGUGGUAGAUUUAAUAUUAGAGGGAGGAAAGAAGAAAGGGAGGGAAGGAAGGUAGAAAGGAGGUAAGGAGGAGAAAGAAGGAAGGAACAGGAAAGUAUUAAAUAUUAAAUAUUUACUAUGUGCCAGUCACCAUGCUAAACAUUAAGAUUCUAAGGAGAGAAGACAACACAUAAAAGAGAGGGGAAGAAGGUAGUUGGAUGUUCAAGGGCAAGGAGAUUCCCAGGUACUGAGAGAAGAGUCAGAAAGAGAAGCAUAAUUUUGGGAAGUUUGAUGGUCAGGAACAGAUACAGAGACACAGGAGGGGAAUGAAGGUUAGGUUGGGUCACUCCACAAAAUGGAGACUUGGAGAGGAAUUCACUAGUAGGGAAUGAGGAUGGACCUUUUAGAGGCAAUGUUUCUAAGUUGAGAAAGUCACAUGAAUGGUUAGAUAUUCCAGAGGGAGGAGGCCUUAGGUUCUAAGGUUCCAUGAUGAGAAAGUUUAAUUUGGAAGUCUGGGAGCCAGGGACAUGGCCAGGAGGGGAAUGCAAUAUUUCCCAAGAAAAAAACCAAAUCAUAAAAAAAUUUGUUAUGGAAAUCAAAAGGGUAUGGCAAUUCACUGUGUGGAAAAGUAUGAACAAUGGAACCUUACAAGAAUUGAUGUUGAGACUUGUUCAAUUUAACAUGUCCAUAAAGCAUUUAGAAUGUACUCAGUGAAAUCUUCAAGUGUGCAUAUAUCACUACUUCUAGUUGACCUCUAAAGCCUUUCAAGGGAAUUAAUAGAUUUCUCUAUAUUUAAUAAUGUUUGAUUCAGAAACUCCCAGCAAGCAUUGAUGGGCACAAACUGUGGGGAGAUCUUUUGAGCCUCACCAAUUGGCAAACAACUGGUAGAUAAGCUUUACUGUAAGUGCCAGGGGAGAAAUAAAUCAAAUUCUGCUUAGGUGGGGCAUGAAGCUAUCAGUUUUAAUUUAGGAAUGAUAUCAUUGUGAUCUGUGGUUCUCUGAUGACAGUGACCCAGUGUGCUGCUAUGAACAAAGAACCAAGAAAAUGCUAGGCAUAAUUGGAAAGGGUAUUGGAAACAAAACCAAAACAUUAUCCUAUCCUUAUAGAAACAACAAUGAUAAAAUAGCUAACAAUGUAAACUAGGGUUUGCAGAGUACUUUGCAAACUGUAACCACUAAAUGUUAAACUAAACUACUGCAGAACAUGAGACUUAUACUCUCUUCACCCUCCCUUCCUAACCAGAAGGGGUGGGAUCAAAAUCCCCACUUGUCGUUCAGUUAUUUUCAGUUGUAUCCAAUUCUUUGUGACCUACAUUUGGGAUUUUAUUGGCAAAGGUACUGGAGUGGUUUGCCAUGUAUUUCUACAGCUCAUUUUACAUAUGAGGAAACUGAGGCAAACAGGAUUAAGUGACUUGCUGAGGGCCAUACAGCUGAUAAGUAUCUAAAGCCAGAUUUGAACUCUGGAAGAUAUCUUCCUGAUUUCUCAAUCCUAACUCUAUCCACAGUGCCGCCUGGCUGCUCCCCAAAUCCUCAUAGACCUCUCCUAUUUCUUCCUAGUAGGCCUGCAGAGAGGCAAGGUUUAUACCUCUAGUCCUUCCUAGCUCUCCUUUCCCUUAUUCCUGGUCUUUAUUGGCAUUUUGAGACCCAAAAUAGAAAAGGAGGCUUUACUAAAGCCAGUGUUCACCAUCAGUACUUAUAAUAGCAACUUGUUCUCAAAGAAAUCCAAGUGAAUUACAAGUUCAAGUUUUCUAGUUCUACUUGUUGAAUCAGUUUUAGAAUAAUUCAUAAGGGAAAGUUCAGGAGGAGAGCCCCUCUAGGUGCAAGGGGAAGUUUUAGGAAGUACACUCCAGAGAUAAAGAAAACCCCUCAGGGCCAUCUUCUAUGGUACAGUCUGAUAGCAAGUAAUGAAGUGAAAAAAGUCCAGGCAAUGGACUUGGUUCUGCUCCUUUCACUCUACAUCAGCUCCUGGAGGUUGUUCCAGUUCACAUGGAAUUCCUCCAGUUCAUUAUUCCUUUCAGCACAAUCAGUAUUCCAUCAUCAACAGAUACCACAAUUUGUUCAGCCAUUCCCCAAUUGAAGGGCAUCCCCUCAUUUUCCAAAUUUGCCUUCACAAAAAAAUGUGGGUAUAAAUAUUUUUGUACAUCUUUUUCCUUAUUAUCUCUUUGGAGUACAAACCCAGCAGUGGUAUGGUUGGGUCAAAGGGCAGGCAGUCAUUUAAAGCCCUUUGGGCAUAGUUCCAAAUUGCCUUCCAGAAUGGUUUAUCAAUUCAUAACUCCACCAACAAUGCAAUAGUGUCCCAAUUUUGCCACAUCCCCUACACCAUUUAUUACUUUCCUUUGCUGUCAUAUUAGUCAAUCUGUUAAGUGUGAGGUGGUAUGUUAGAGUUGUUUUGAUUUGCAUUUCUCUAAUUAUAAGAGAUUUAGAACAUUUUUUCAUGUGCUUAUUGAUGGUUCUGAUUUCUUUAUCUGAAAACUGCCUAUUCUUGUCCCUUGCCUAUUUAUCAAUUGGGGAAUAGUUUGAUUUUUUUGUACAAUUGAUUUAGUUCCUUAUAUAUUUGAGAAAUUAGACCUUUGCCAGAGGUUUUUGUUAAAUUUUUCCCCAAUUUGUUGCUUCCCUUCUGAUUUUGGAUACAUUUGGUUUAGUUUGUACAAAACCUUUUUAAAUUAAUGUAAUCAAAAUUUCUUUUGUUACUGUUGCUACUCGCACCAGUGCACAAAACUUCUAGGUGCAUUGUGCCCUGUAUAUCUUCCUGCUACUUCUCUUUCAUUGCUACCUUUCAACCAUUACUCUCUCCUACUCCUGCUGCCUCUCUUUGGCAGGGCUCUUUCCCAUUCCCAGUGUUUCCACAUCCUCAGUCCCAUACGGCUUCAAAGAGCUGCCCACCACCCAGGCCCACAUUCUCUGGAAUUAAAUGUGGCAUAAUAUUUUUGCUUAUGCAGCAAACUACAUCUUCCAGGGACUAUAUGAUUAGUUUCUGGACUCUAUCAGUGAGUCUCUUCAUUCUGAUUAAGGAGGAAAAAUCAGUCUGGUGAUGUAAAAAAGAACUAGAAAAGAGGCUACAGUCUAUUAUUUCAUUUGGUCUUCGUAACAAAACUCAUCUGUAACACGGGAAACUGGGGUUAAGUUACUUGGCCAUGAUCAUAUACCUAAAAAUUGUCAGAGGUGGGAUUUGAACUCUUUUUUUUCCCUGACUUCAAGAUCACUAUUCUUUAUAAUACCUCAAUGAGCCAUCUGCAUCUGUAAUACUGUAUACAGUUCUGUUUACUGCAUGUAAAGAAAACCAUAAUGUUACUUGCAGGCUUACAUAAAGACAACAAAAAUGAUCAAGAGGCUGGUGCGGUAACCCUAUUGAGGGCAAAUCAAAACAAUUAGAGCUUUUCAAUCUGGAAAGAUGAAGGAUGAAAGAAGCUGGGAUCAAAAUCUAUGAAAGCACAAAGGGUAUGGAUAGGGUGAACCUGGACUUGUUCACCAAAUCCUGGAAUACUAGAACUAGGGACUUUUUAAAGUUUGAAAGAGGUAUAUUUAGUACAAGUAAAAGGAAGUAGGACAUUACACAGUGGGAAAUAAACUUAGGAAACUGUCUACCCCCAAGAGAUGGUGCUAGCUAAAAAUUAAAAUAAGUUUAAGGGUUUAGAUAAAUGAAUGGAUGUUAUAUCUGUAAUGGCUUAUUAAAAGAAAGUAAGGAUGACUAGGGGAAGGAGACAUCAUUAACCACUUAUGGUAACAAAAAUUCUUCUCUCAAUCAUCCCUUGGUGCCGCUGUCAAAGACUUAAUAGGGAACUCAAUUCAACCACCAACUACAUUCAUGACACUGUGCUAGAGCUUGGGGAUACAGAGACAAAAAUGAAACCAUCUCUGCCCUUCAGAGUUGACAUUUUCUUAAAGAGACACAAGUAUAUAGAUAGGUAACUACAAACUACUAAUUUGAGGAGGGAAAAAUACUACUAGCUGGAAAGGAGGACUAGCAAGUAUUCUUAUAAAUUACAAAUGGGCUGAACAUUUCAAGAAACUAGAACUUCUAAGAGGGAGGUAAUGAAAGAAUACAUUCCAGUCCUGUUAGGGGCCAGAGGUGGAGGUGGGAUUGAUUCCCUCCUCAGACCCUUACUUGUGGGGCCCUGAGCCCCGCAUCAGUUUCUGCAUCAGUUUUCUCAUCUGUAAAAUAAAGGAAUUAGAUUCUGUCAUCUCUCAAGUCUCUUCUAGGGAAGAAAUAUGAAAAAAAUGAAUAGACAGAUAAGAGUAGAACCAAGAGAGCGAAAAAAAAAACCAAAAACCCAACAGUAUUAUGGUCCAACCAUACUGGACUCCUUGUUAUUCCUCAAAUGUCAACCCAUCCCCUGUCUUCAUGUUAGACCUUGGGGGGUUGUUUGUCAUCCAUGACUAAAAUGUUCUCCCUCCUACCUUCUAGAACCUUGGAUUUUUUAUUAGACUCAGCUCAAAUGUCAUCCUGAUCUCCCCAUCUCUAAGUGCCUUCUCUAAGAUUACUUUACAUCUAUCCUGUACAUACUUUAUAUGCACAUACAUAUGUAUAUAUGUUUCUCCCCCAUUGGAAUGUAAGCUCUUUGAAGGUAAGAAUUAUUUUUGCUUUUGCUUUUUUUCUUGAAUUGUUCAAUGCUUAGCUCAGUACCUGACAUAUUAGGGGGCACUUGAAUGCUUGUUGACUGAUUAUAGAAAGAAUCCAGGAGUGGUAGAGUAGGGAGGUGAAUUACAGUGUCAAAAAGAGGUCAAGAAGGAUGGGGACUGAUGAAAGACCAUCAGAUUUAGCAGUUAAGAGAUCAUCCGUAACCCUGGAGACAGCACUUUCAGUUGAGUGUUGGGUCAAAAGUUAGAUUGAGAAAGGGUUGAGUUCUCAAAAGGGCUGAAAAAAUGAGUGGGAAGUGAAAAAGUGGAGUUUGAGAGAGAAGAUGAAUUUUUUUUAGGAAUUUGUCUGUGAAAGGAAGAAGAGAUUUAAGGUUAUAGCUUUAGGAGUAAAAUAAUCAAAAUGUAUCUGUGUAUGUGUAUGUGUAAAUGUGUGCAUGUGUGUGUGUUCAAAGUAUAAAAAGACCUAGAAACAUUUUAUUUAUUAUAUUAUUAUAUUACUCCCAUUUAUAUUUUACUUAAUAUGUUAAAUGUUUGCUGCUAGGAAAAACUAAGAAAUGACCUCUGUCCUCAUGGAACCCUCUGUCUAGGAAGGAAGAUAUGGUAUAUAUAUAUAUACAUGUGUACUAUUAGAUUAUAUAUAUAUAGAAUAGCUACAAGAGCAGAAUAGAAUACAGUAAGGGCACUCAAAGGCAUAGAGUCCUGUACUGGGUCAGAGGGAAGAAAUUCUAUUUUUAUUUGGGAAGAAUUGGAAAAGACCGGGAAGAUUGUUUUGGACAAAUUGGCAUUUAACUGCUUCUUUAAGGCUGGGUAUUAUUUUAAAGGGCAGAUUUGUAGGAGGAGGGAGGACAUUCCAGGAACAGGGAGAGUCAUGAACAAAUUUGCAAUCAGAGGAGCCUUGGAUAAUGAUCAGGAUAAUGAAUGGUCUAGUUAGCAAGCUAGCACAUAUAGAGGAAAUGAUGUUGAGGAAUGUAUGGAGAUAUCAGUUUUUUAGAAUGUCUUAAAUGCUAAUUCAAAACGUUUGAAAUUGAUUCUAUUAGGAAGGAGGGAACCACUGAAGUAAUUUGAACAGAGGAAUGACAUUUAGAUCAAUUCAUGUAAAGAUCAACUUGGCUUCAUUAUGAAGGAGAGAUUAGAAAGGGAAGAUAUUAGAAACAAGGAGUUAGGAGAUUCUGGUAAUGAAAUAGAGGGUCACUAGGAUGUUGGCAAUGGGAAAAUAAUUAUAAAAGUGGAUAAUAAAGAGAUUACAAGGAUAGAAUCAACAGGUGUGGAUAAUUGAUUUUAUGUAGGAGAGAAGAGUCACUUAGCCUGGAUUGUGAACCUGAGGAAUAAUUGUAUCACUGAGAGGCAUAAUAACACGAACACAUUUUGGACACAUUAAGGCUAUUGGCUAGCAAAGAGGAGAUGAUUAUAUUAAGGCCAAGAAUCAUAUUUCCUACAUUCUUAUGAAACUUGGCAUGACUUGUGUAUGAGUAUAGAACUAAGAAAUCAUUAUAAGCCUAGACUUUGAAAUUCAAUCACACACUUAACUAGGUGUUUGUGCCCUUACCAUUCUUCCUCCUCUUUGUUUACUUCCUUCCCAUCUUCAUUUUCUUCCUUUUUCCUUCUGCCUAAUCCCCCCAAGUUGCAUGGUUCUACAAGGUCUUUGCUACUCAGCUGUCCACCAUCUGCCCCAGAAAUGGCUUCUGGUGAAGCUGUAAAAUGUCUUGAAUGCUGCCAAUUUCUUAGUGAAUCCUUAAAAUCUUUAAACAAGACCAUGUGUUUGUGGUCUUUAACUGCCACCAUGACCAGUCCAUACACAUAUGCUGCAAAGACCAAGACCAUUUAGGGCUUCCUAUGGUGCCUGUCGCCAUAAUAUCUUUUACCCUGAAAUAGUUAAACACUGUUAUUGGUGGGUAGAAAUGUACUCUCAGGUUGUAUUUUUAGUUUAGAUGAUUGCUGAGUAAACGCCUUCAGGUGGGCUAUGAAUCCUAUAAACAGAUGAGAAAUCCCUGCAGCUAAAAACACAGAGUUAGUAAAAAUGUAGAGGCAAGUAACAACAACAAGAAUAAAAAGCCCCAAACAUUUCUUUCCAUGACAACCAAAUAAGACAGGAGGAAUUCACCUCCACUGGAUUUCCACUGAAAUACUCCUUAAGCAAAGUGGAAAAGCACCUUAAAGAGGGUAAUGUGCAAGUAAUUGAAAGAAAUUACCUGUGUGUGUGUGUGUGUGUGUGUAUGUGUGUGUGUGUGUUCAGAGAGAAGCAGUUUGAUUGAAUUAAAUCUACUGGGAUUAUGCUCAGGCCCUGAUCUUAAAAGCAACUCAUAUACUAUCCAGAGGGAACUAGUUAUAUAUGUUGCCCAUUCAGAAUAAUUCUUCAGUGGGUUCAAAUCUGGCCUCAGACCUUUCCUAGCCAUGUGAUGACCCUGGGGAAGUCACUUAACCCCCAUUACCUAGUUUUUACAGCUCUUCAAUCAAUACACACUUAUUGAUUCUAAGAUGGAAGGUGAGGAUUAAAAAAAAAAACAACCAAUAGUCAGCAAUAGUACUGAGAACUGAAAUUAUUUUCCCAAGAUGAGGACAAUGAGUGCCCCUAGUAUUGUGAUUGUACUGUGUGGUAUAUUUACUUCAGCACUCUAGAUUUCCAAACCAUUCUGAAGCUCGCAUUGUAUUUCUGUGACAACUUGGUGUUCAAAUUCUUCAUACUUGAUGUUCCUGAAAAAAUAAGUAGUUUUUAUAAUUUUUAGAAGUUUGGAGUGGAAGUAGAGAAUAUAAAAAGGAAGAGGAGGUGAGAGUGCAGUUCUACAUUGUAUGAAAUACCUCAGAGCCAGAGGUAAUUCAGCUUCCCAGACACAGGGCAAUGCAAGCCUGUGGAGAAGGAUGAAUUUAUGAACAUCUAUCGGUCUCUCACAGCUCAGAGUGAAUGAAUAAAUGAAUGAAUGAAUAAAUGAAUGAAUGAAAAAUUCAUUUAUUAAGCACUUGCUAUGUGCCGGGCACCAUGCUGAACACUAGACUUGGACAAAAACAAAAAACAAAAAACAAGCAAGAUAGAUAAUCUUUUGACUCCAAAUCCAGGGCUGUUCCUAUUAAACCAUUCUGCUUUAGGAAAGGUAUAGAGAAGAUCAGCUUCAAUUAGUUUAUCCAGUUCUGGAAUACCAGAACUGUAUACCUCCUGAAAUUUGAAGGAGGCAUAUUUAAUGCAAAUAAAAGGAAGUAGGCCAUGACCCAGUGGGGGCAAACUUCAGGAAUUCACCACUCCCAAGAUAUGGUGCCAGUUGAAAAUUGAUAUAAAUUCAAGAUAUCAGAUAAAUUAAUGGAUGUUGCAUUCAUUUUUAUUAAAAGAAAAAAAUAUAUAUUUAUUUAAAAAACCAUCUAUCUCCUUUAAAAUGCCCUUUAAAAUAAACAAAAGUGGGUGGUUAGGUAGCAGAGUGGACAGAGUCUCAGGCCUGAAAUCAGGAGGACCUGGGUUCUGAUCUGGCCUUAGAUACCAUUUCCUAGCUGUGUGUCCCUGGGCAAGUCAUUUAAGCCCAAUUAAUUAGCCCUUGCUGCUUUUCCUCUUAGAAGUGUUAUUAAAAAAGAAGGUAGGAGUUUUUUAAAAAAGAAAGCAAAAAAUAUUUAUGAGUUGAAAUAUUUUAGAACACAACAGUUCUUUUCCUAAUAAUGAAUUCCCCCAGAAAGUAUUAGGACAGAAAGAAACUAAGAAGUCAUCAAGUCCAGUUUCCUUAUUUUACAGAUAAGAAAAUUGAGGUUAAGGAAUUGUCUUCUGCAGAGUCAUAAAGGUAAUUAGUGCAUAAGGCAGAAUUUGAACUCUAGCUUUCCUGACUCCAAGAUCAUUGUUCUUUCCACUAUACUAUAUUGAUUCAGUGACCCUAUAGCCACUGCUUGAGGUUAAAGGGAAAUCAUUCAGCCUAUAACAUUAUGGGCAUCGCUAAAUGGUGUUUCUUCCUCAUAUUGAAUUGAAAAAUGUUAUAGCUAUAUGCAACAAUUUUUAAAAAGAUAUUUUAUUUUCCCAAUUACAUAUAAUAUUAAUUUUCAACAUUUGUCUUCUAAAAUUAUAAAAUUGAAUUGUCUCCCUCUCUCCUUUCUGUCUCUUCUCCUAGAGAAGAUAAGCAAUUUGAUCUGCAUUGUAUGUGUAUUAUCAUGCAAAAAUCUACUUCCAUACUGGUCAUUGUUGUAAGAGAAUACUCAUAUAAAACCAAAACCCAAAAUAAAAACAUAACUAAAAUAAUGUGAAAAAUUGCAUGCUUUGAGCUGCAUUCUGACUCCAGCAGUUCUUUCUCUGGAGGUGGAUAGCAUUCUUUGUCAUAAGUCCUUUAGAUUUUAUAUGGAACAAUUCUAAUCCCUUUACCAGAUGACAGUUUAAAAAAUAUUUGAAGACAACCAUCACGUCCUCCAUGAAGCUUCUUUUUUCCAUGCAAGAUGUGUUCAGUUCCUUCUACUAUUCUUCAUAUGGCAUGGUUUUAAGCCCACAUAUCUUCAUGUUCUGGAUGCAUGCCAGGUUGUUAGUGACCUCUUAAAAUAUGAGUCCUAGAGUUGAGCAUAAUACUUCAGAUAUGGCCUGGAUUUAGAGCCUAGGUUUCUUGAGUUUUAGGUAAAUGAUCUUUCCAUUCUACCUCACUUGUCUUUAUUUUGGGGUAUUUUAAUGCUGUCCAGUUUUUCUUUCUAGUCUAAAGAAAAAUGGCUUCCCCACAUGCAUUGGAGCUAGUAAAUUAGAAUUGUCUGUCAUUUUAAAGCUCAGAAGGCAUUUUUUAGAAUUUAGAAUUUAGAAAUUUUCUAAAGUGAAAAAUUACAGAGCAGGUAGAAAUCAUGGGUCCAAAAAGUUCUCUUUGCUUUACUAUCUUUCUUUUUUAAAAUCUAUGUUUAUUGUUAAAUUAAAAUUCCCCAGUAUCUCCUACCUCCCUUUUCUCUUUGUAUUGGAGAAAGCAUCAUUUAACAAAAAGAUAAUAUGUGUAUAUAAAACUCUAUCUUGCUAUGUUUCUCUUAUAUUAGUUCUUUCUCUGGAGGUAUACAUAAACAAGUUAUUCUUCAAACAAUAUGCCUAUUGCUGUAUAUAAUGUUUUCCUGAUUCUACUCAUUUCACUUUUGUUUAGGUCUUUUUGCAAAUUUGAAUUAACUUACACAUUUUUUCUUAUACCACAGUAGCAUUCCAUCACAAUCAACUUGUUCAGCUAUUCCCCAGUUGAUGGACAUCCUGUCAAUUUCCAAUUCUUUAAAUUUUUCAUAUAUACAAUGUAAAAUUUAUAAAUGUUUAGAACACAUUGGUUCUUUUUCUAUUUCCACUGAUCACCUCAGGAAAUAAACUUUAUAGUAGUAUUGCCGGGUUAAAAAACAUACAUAGUUUUAUAACUCUUUGGGCAUAAUUCCAGAUUGCUCUUCAAAAUGAUUAUGUCAGUUCACAGGUCCAAAAACAGUGUAUUAGUACCCCCUACGACAUUUGUCAUUUUGCCCUUUUAUCAUUUUAGCCAAUUUGAUAGGUGUGAGAUGAUAUCUUGGAGUUGUUUUGAUUUGUAUUUCUCUAAUCAAUUAUGAUCUAGAGCAUUUUUUCACAUAGUUAUAUAUAGUUUUGAUGUCUUUACCGGAAAACUGUCUGUUCAUAUCUUUUGACCAUUUAUCAUUCGAGGAAUGGCUCAUAUUCUUAUAAACUUGACAAAUUUUUCUUUAUAUUUUAUAUAUGAGAUCUUUAUCCAAGAAACUGUCUAUAAAAUUCCCCCAUCCCUAAUUUUCUGCAUGCCUUCUAAUCUUGACUUUUUAGUUUUAUAUUCUUUAGGAUGAACAUUUUCUUUUGUUCCCUUCUUUAUCUCCUUGUCUUCCUCUAUUAUAUUCCCUCCCUUAUUUUAUUGUCUGGUCCUUUUUUUUUAAAUUAAUCUAUGUAUAUAUACAUCCUUUUAAAAGACCCUCUCUUUUCUUUAUCCCUCACCCACAUAUCUUCUCAUGAAUUAAGAACAUUUUACAUAUAUAAAUUUCCUGUCUUACUAGAUCUAAUAUUAAAAAAUCUGAUCAUGCUUCUUUCAUUCUUGAUGCAUAUGAAAAGUGAGGAAGAAAAGGAACAUUUAUUAGGCUCCUACUAAAUACCAACAGGCAUUGUAUUAAAGACUUCACAAAUAUUAACUCACUUGAUAACUAAGAGACUAUAAUAUAAUCCUUGAUUUAAUAUAUAAUUUUAUUUUAUCUACUAAAUUUUCUAUUAAUAUGAAAUAAUAAUAUAAAUAGCAUAAAAUGAUUGACUAAAUUUAAUAAUUUAAGAUGUAAUGUUUUCUGGCAUGUUUUGUAUGGGAGACACUCACCUAGAUUACUUUCUAAAAUAAGUUAAUCAUAGAAACUUGCUGAAAUAUUCUCUUCCAUGGUGGAGAGAGCACUUUAAUGGAAGUAAACCUGGCUUGUGUUUCUGCCUCUGUCACUGACUAGCUGUUUGAACUUGGAUGCGUCCAUCUUUUUGAGUUUUAGUUUCUUCAUGUAUAAAAUGAAAGAGUCUAAAUGAAUAUUCUCCCAAACCCCAGUCCCUGUGCAUAUAUUUUUUUAAAAAAUAGGAAAUAAAUACAAGGAGUGGUGAAGGAGGAAAAAUAUUUCUGAUAUUUGAACAUCAUGGGAUCAAAGGCAUAUCAAAAAAUCAGGAGCCAUCCAGUAUAACUCCCACCUUUAAUAAUGAGACAACUGAGAGACCCAGGGAAGUUAAGUAACUACUUACCUAAGAUCACAUAAGGUGAUCUUUUAUUACCUUAAUUUUAUUACUAUAACAAACACUUGUGAAUAUUGAUAACUAGAUAAGGAUGGGAGUAGCUAGGUGGCUCAGUGGAUUGUGGUGGUAGGUCCUGGAUUCAAAUAUGACCCCAGAAACUAUUUUGCUGUGCAACCUAUGACAAGUCACUUAACCUCCAUUGACUAGCCCUUAACAUUCUUUUGCCUUGGAACCAAUACAGAGUACUGAUUCUAAGAUAGAAAGGGAAAGUUUUAAAAAUUGAAUUAAAAAAAACCCAAUUAGACAAAGACUCAAUGAACAGUUUUAGGAUAUGAGAAAUUAAGUGCAGUGUUCAAAUAAUGUUUUUUUUAUUUUUUAAAUUAUGGUUUUAUGACAAUGAAUCAAUGAUUUUAUCCAUGGACUUUUAUUCUCAUGGAUUUUAUUCUCAUGGACUAUGCAGUUAUUUUCCCAUCUUGUGUGACUCUUAAAGUCCUCCCUUAAUUUGAGAAGAAGAGAGCCACUUAUCAUUUUAUUAACAUCAAUAUUUAAAAAUACUAUGAAUCAAAGGAAAAAUAUUUAUUUGGACAAAGAAAUUAUCAGCACCCACCUCCUCCCUUUAAUGUCUUUAAAAAAAGAUACUAAUAGGCUGAAAUAUGUUUACAGUUUGUUUUAUCCCUAUUGUCAUGCCUUAAUCAUUCCCUGUAAGCUGUAUUUCCAUGACAGGAUUUUUUCAGGUACACUGCUCAUAAAGAACAAAAAGGGAAACGUUUAUAUUGUGCCUGCAUUUAUUAUUGGGAGUCAAAGGCACCGUUUUAAAGUAAUGGAUGUAAUUCCAUGAACCCUCUGUAGGGGGAGUCAAUCGCAUCCAAAUUAGGCUGUGUGACCGUCCUCGAUUCUCAGUUAAUGUCCUGGGGGAAGGCAGUAUCUGUGCCUGGGACGCUGUUGCCUCUCUGUGUAUCAGUGCCUACAUGUGGGUGAACAAGUGCUAUGCCUUCCCGCUCUUCACAUCUCAUAUUAAAAACUGUCCAUUGUCCUCUAUGUCCGUUCCUUGUAAUGUACUUAUCUUGUAUAAUGUAAUCAUUUCCCUAUUAUCAUAAUGAAUUAAGAUUUCGGGAUACAAUCAUGGGGAACCUUUCCCAUGUUCAGAGAAAUGUUCUACUCUGCCACACGCCUCAUCAAACAUUUGUAUCAAUUCGUGAGACACAUGCACUUGAAUGGCGAUAGUGAACGCAGAGAGAUCCAUGUCCAUGUCAGCGGAGGAGACUGGAUUUGCAUAAAUGAUGCUUGUGAAUAGGCUCUUGGUUCCCACAUUCAUCUAUGCCUUUCUGUUCAGCUGGCAAAGAGCCAUUUGUAAUAUCUACCAUCAACACCUUCUUUUUACAUUUUAUUGAUUUGAUUUGAUUUUUGUUGUCAUGUCUUUGGUCCAGUCACCAUGCAUGUACACCGUAAGACCAAGCCAAUAGAGAAACACUGUUUGAAUGUAGAAUGUGUAGAAUGUAGAAAGUGGCUCUGUAUGAUUUGAAGUAGGAAUCAUGGAAGAGGUACCCAACUCAUCACAGGGAACUUACCUAAUUGGAGGAAACAGUGGGUGCAUUUGCUAUUCUGUGAUGCAACCACAUUGAUCCCUUUUGUCCCAAUUUAGAACAGGCAAGGUUCAAAUUGGCACAGAGUGGGUAAAGAGGAGGAAGAAAGCACUUAUAAACACUUACUAUGUGCAAAGGUCUAUAUUGGUCACUUAACAGAUAAAUUUUGUUUAAUCCUCACAACACCCUACAAGAUAGAUGCAAUUAUUAUCCCUGUCUUGCUUUUAAGGAACAUGAGGCAGAGGUUAUGUGAGUUAGAUGCCUGGGGUCUCACAGCUAGUAAGUGCCUGUGAGCAGAUUUGAACUCAAAUCUUCUUGACACCAAGUCCAGAACUCUAUCUGCUGUGUCAUUUAGGUACCUAGGAGGUGGCCAAUUCUUUCAAAAUAGCAGUCUGAUCUGAAGUGGCUCUAGAACAGUGAAGCUUGCAUGGUUUAAUACAACAGAGAGAGCUGGCACCUUUAAGCUUUUAUAAAUGCUUUAAUAAUCCAAGGGAAGAAAAUCCUGGCAAUUGGGGUACUUAGGCAUUACUGGGUCUUGAGUGCUGGGUCUGCAAUCAGGAAAACCUCAGUUCAAAUCUGGCCCCAAACACUUACUAGCUGUGCAACCCUGGAUAAGUCACUUAACCCUGUUUGCCUCAGUUUUUCAUCUGUAAAAUGAGCUGGCGAAGGAAAUGGCAAACCAGUCCAGUAUCUCUUGCCAAAAGAACUCCAGAUGGAGUCACCAAGAGUCAAACUUGACUGAACAACAGUAACAAAAAGAAAACACUUUUGAAUAUGCCAAGUAGAAGUUUUCUGGAUAAGGGUAUAUACAGAGGUUGGUAGAAUUGUUUUGGUUCUCCCUGAUCAUAUCUAUGUAUUUGUCAAUCCCCCUGGCUGUUUCUAACUGUUCCCUAUUCAAAUUGCUUUGGGUUCAUAGUUAAUAAAAUUGCCAGCUGUAUCAGUAUCUGUUGCUACCAUUGACAGAGUGUGAUCUUGAGAUGUCUUCAUUUUCUGUGUGACUUGCUACUCCUGGAGUUAGGGGACAAGCAGCAAAUGCAGUUGUAAUUUACCUUUGCCUUUAGUUUCCUUCCCCUUUUAAAAAAAAGAGUAUUUCUCACUGAUGCACUUUUAAUUUUUAUUUAAGUUAGUUUUUGGUGAUAUCGUUAAUUCCAUCUACUUUUGCUAGUGAGUCCCUCCCUUUUUUCCUUCCCUAAAACACAUCCUUUGUAACAAAGAGGAAAAAUUUCAGUAAAAGUAAUAAUCAUAGGGAAAAAUAAAUCUGACAUUAUCAAGAGUAUUUCACAACCAUAGUCCCCUACUACUGCAAAUAAGGGAAAGAGGUUCUGAAGUGGUCUUUCUAAGAGGCAAUUGUCAUCAUCAGGUUUGAUUUGGAUAAAUUGAGCAUCAUCCCCUCCAAAUGGCUCAUGUCCUUGGAAAUAGUGACCAAUUUCAGAAAAGGAGUUUAGCAGUUAAUCCCUUUUUGUCUUUUUGUGGGAUGUGAAUUCUGCCAGGAGACAUUACAUUUGGAGCUGGAAAGGUUCUUAGAGAUCAUCUAACAUAGCCCCCUCAUUUUAGUAAUAAAGAAAUUGAGGCCCAGAGAGGUUUAGUUGGUUACCAACUUCACACAGGAAAUCAGUAGCAGAGCUAGGAUUCAAACCUAGGUCUUUGCACUUUAAAUCCAGUGCUCCUUGCACUCCUAUAAUGCUGCCAGCCUGCCUUUGAAGCUAAUUUUCAGUAGCUAUGAGUUUCUCCACAACAAAAAUCAAAUGACUGGUUCAGGAGACUUUAAUGAAACCAUAGCUGACACAAAGAUGAUUUCUGUGUACAUACAUUCAGUCAUUAAGGAAAAAAAAAACUCUCCUUUGAGGUUCCCAAAAGUUGUGAUGCCCUUGGGUGCACGCAUGAAUAGUGGCUGUCUGUGGAUGUUAGAACAUGCCAAGUAGUUGAAUUUGAGGUAUUUGGUCUUUAACAGAAGAAUGCCACUUCACAAUUUACUUUGGAAAUCUAGGUGAAAUAUUCAAAUAUGAUGGCUCAACUUUAAGAGAACAAACUGAAACACUUAGUAAAUAAGUAAUUGUGUUGAGGCAACUAGGUAGCUUAGUAGAGAGAGUGCCAGGAUUGAGUUAGGAGGACUUGAGUUCAAAUCUAGCUUCAAAUACUUCCUAGUUGUGUGACCCUGGGCAAAUCACUUAACCCCAGUUGCCUAACACAACCUUUCUGCCUUGGAAUCAAUAUUUAAAACCUCUUCUAAAACAGAAAGUAAGUGUUGUUGUGUGUUUUUUUUUUAGUUGUGUUAGAUACCUUCGGAGAUUAAAGGAUAGUGUAAUAAAAUAUAAGACCCUGGAGGGCAAGAACUUUUUUUAUUUUUGUCUUGGGUCUAAAGCAACCAGUAGAAUUAAAGAUACAUUUGUUGAAUUGAAUAUGAGAGACUCUGUAUGUGAAGGGGCAGUACUGGGCAUUCUUCCUGGUACAUUGAACCAUUUUGUAAAUGCUUCCUGAUUUGACUUGGAGUUCAAAAUCAGUUGAAAAGCUAUUUUCUGUGUGGAAGCACCAUGUUUAAUAGUAAUGAACUCAAUAUAUAAUUAAAAUAAAGAGACUUCCUUAACUUAUAGUGAAAUGCCACCGAUCUAUUAAUCCUCUACCUUUGUCUACACCUUAUUGUUUUCUCUCAAAAUCACCCGUCUCCCUCCUACCUUGCCUGAUGACAGGGCAGGUAGAGAGUCCUAAGAAACCUAUUUUUUUAAUUAAAGCUCAUAAAUUGCAAGAAAUCUAGGGAUCCUCCUUUAUUAUAGGAGUCAUGAGUCUGUUCACAUAACCUGUAAUAACUUAACUCAUGCAGAUUUUGAAUGGAGCGAGGAUGAUUUCUCUCUUCCUCUUAUUACUACAGAACCAUCCACAAUUGCUAUACAAUGGACUUGUAGCAAAUAGGAGCUUUUAAGUAACUUUUGUCGACAAGGAACAUAAAGUGAGCUACCCUUCAAAGAAUGAAGAUUAAAUAUCAUUAUCUAUAGUUGAGUAAACAUCACUGUAAAGUGUGCAGAGAGCAUCUUUUAGCUGAGAUAAAGCUGCAGGUGGCUCAGAGGGACUGCUGUUCACAAUCUUGCCAGCAUUUUAUAUGGGCAAUUUCAUAGGUAGGGAACUUGGUUGUUUCUAGUCUGUCCUACCCUUUGCCUUCAGGGAUUUUUUUAAUGGUGAAAAAUGGCCCCUCUUUUUUGAUCCAUUUACCACAGGUGAUCCCCAGAGCUCAGCCCUUGACUUUCUGACCUUUUCUAUGCUCUCUUUCUAUGUGCACUCAGGUAUUCUUAUGACCAGAACUUUAAGUAAUGAGGGGGGAAAGAUUUUUUUGUUUAUUUCUGUUGGGUUUGUUUUAAUUUUUAACUGCUAGGGAGUUGGCCAGAGUGUUUCUUUUAAAAGGGUGACAAUUUCUCCCCUAAUUAAUGUCUUCUCUGAACCCAGUCUUUUGAUUUCCACCAACUAUUGUUGCUAUAUGGUAGAAUAGCCAGCCUGGGGGUUGUCAUGGUCCCUCACUCUGAGGACCAACUUUCCUAGCCAGGAGGGCAAAGGUAUAAAGGACUAGAUGUCCCUUCUAAUGGUGGAGUGCCUACCUUCCAGCUUAGAAUCAAUAUCGUGUAUUGGUUCCAAGGCAGAAGAGCAGCAAGGGCUAGGCAAUGGGGGUUAAGCGACUUGCCCAGGGUCACACAGCUGGGAAAUGUCUGAGGCCAGAUCUGAUCCCUAGUCCUGACUUCCUUGUUUUUAUUGAUGGCACCAGCCAAUCACCUAGACUGGAAACCUCAUUUCUUCUCUACCUAAUAUCCCUGUUAUAUGCAAAUAGUUACCAUUCUUAUUUUAUUGUUUUUUUUUCACAAACUACAUAACUUCUUUACCAUACUAGAAUCCCAGUGCAGAUCCUUAUUAUUUUCUGAAACCUGAAAUGUACAUAAAGACAUAAUACAUAUAUAUUCAUAAAAAUAUAUGUACAUAUGUAUCCAUCCAUAUAUUUUUGAAUGACAAAUACUGUUCUUAACAUUUUAUCCUGCUUUUCUUCUAUAUAAUAAAUAUAUAUGUAAAACAUGUAUAUUUAAAAAGUAUUUAUAUACAAAGGAUUGAAUUAAAGGCAAAUUGGAAUUACUUCAUUUUACAUAGAAGAAUAUUUUAGAUCUUUCUCCUUCCUUUUCUUCCUCUUGUUGAGUCCAAAGAGACCUGACAGACUUAGAUACCCUUGGGUGUUUAAGGUAGAUCAUUCUGAGGCAUGGUUGUCUUUGAUGUGUUCACCUACAAAAAUGUCACCUCACAACUGGUUCUGUUGUUUCACAUUAAAUGUGAAAGAUUCACUAAAAGGUUAAUUUCGAAUCUUGUCAAAUUUUAUAGCAUUAAAGGCAUUGCCUUUUCGAGGACACAACUAGAAAAAUAUCAGGAGGGCAAGAGGGAAGAUUGAUGCAAAGGUUGAAUAAGGUAGCUACUUUCUCCAACCCUUAUAGAGAGAUAUAUCAAGAUAUUCAUAAUCAUCUUUCUUUGUUCUUCCACUGAAGAGAUUUCUAUAUUACUAUUAAUUAAAAAAUAGUUCUUAUACUCUGAGAAUGGGGAUGGAGUCUGAGGAAAUUGUUUCUUUGUUUCAUUAUUUCCCUGAUAAUUUUCCCCCAUUGUUUGCUUUAUUUUUCCCCUGAGAAAGAAAUUAUCCUUUAUAUAUGUAUAUGUAUAUAAUCUCAUUUUUUUUGUUUGUAAUUAUAUAACCAAUAGCUGGUUUUUAUUGGUCCAUCUGGGGAUGGUAGAGUUAGUAAUGAUUUAUUUAAUCACCUUAUAAUCAAUCCAGUCAUGAACAAAAAGCCCACACACUGGCCUUGAAAUAUUUGAUUCAAGGAUUUUAUAUUUAUGGCUUGAAUAUUCAAGUGCAAGUAUUAUUUUUCUAAAUUGCUUCCUUUUCCUUCUUCUAACCCUAUCCCUAACCCUUUAGUUUCUCAUUUUCCUGAUCAAUUUGUCUCCCUACCAUUUAUUUCUUUUCUAGUGAUCUUUCCCUCUAGUUUUUUAAAUGAAGAAUCAUCAACAAAUAUUUAUUGUCUCAUAUAUAUAUAUAUAUAUACAUAUAUAUAUAAAGAGAAAAGUGCUCAUCUUUGGGUAUACAAAAAAGAGACAAAAGACAGUCCCUGAACCCAAGGAACUUACAACUAAUGUGGGAGGGAAUAACAUGCAAACAAGUAUACAAAGCAAGCUAUUUACAGAAUGAUAAGGAAAUAACAUUUUUUAAAUUAAAAAAAAACUUUUUUAUUGCAAGUAAGAAAAUAUUUUAGCUUGGGGUGGCAGGUAAAUAGAAAGAUACAAAAGAUAGAGAGACCAGAUGAGUUGGUUGCUAGAUGCAUUCUAGAAUUCCUCUUUUUCAUCUUCACUCUCUAUAGAAUGCAUGUCUACUUCCUCAUAAUCUUUAACCACAACAGACUAAUCUUCCUGGGCUUCAAAGAAUUCUCUAUGCCUUCACCCAUAUUGUGUACAAAUACACAUUUUGUAUACAUGAUGUUAAAUUUGUGAUCUAGAUGGACUCAUGCUUUGCCAAUGGCAGUUGUAUUACUUAAUAUUCAUUCUGCCAGCUGUACUUUCACCAGGUCUCAACCAGGUACCAAGUUAAAAGCUGGUAAUUGAUGCCCCCCUUGAAGCCAUUGGGACACCAGGCUACAAAAUGAAUUGUUCUCUUGGUCUUCUUUGUGGCAAUGACAGCAUUGACAUCCUUGGAUACCACAUUACCUUGGUACACCAUGCAGCAAGCUAUAUGUACUUGCCAUGAUGGGUACCAUACUUUACAAAGUAGGCACUGGAGAUCUCUUUUACAGAGAUCAUGAUAAGCCUUUUCACCAGAGUCAAUGGACAAGUAGGUAACAAGGGGUAUGUAGAUUUGUAUAAAGUAUAUAUAAAGUAUAUAUAUAUAUGUAUAUAUAUAUGUAUAAAGUAUAUAUAAAGUAUAUAUAAAGUAUAAAGUAUAUAAAGGGAUAAAGUACCAGAUUAGUCUGGAACUCUGUAAGGUAUACAUUAAGAACAUCAGCGUUCAGGGAGGCAAUGAUGGAGGAAAUGAUCUAGUUAAUGAGCCAGUUAAAGUUGGUGUAAGUAGGGUGCUGAAUGUAAGACACCAAGAGAAGGCACUAGAAUGAAAAGGUAUUGGGAAAGGCUUCAUGUAAAAUCUGAGAUUUUAGUUGGGACUUAAAAGAAGUAAGGGAAGCCAGUAGACAAAUUUGAGGAGGAAGAGCAUUCCAGGUUAGGUGGUAAUCAAAGAGAAUACUUGAAACUGAGAGAUGGAAUAGCCAGUGUUAUAGAUUGAAGGAUAAAUGUUGGGAUAGCUAAAAAAGCUCAGUAGAUGGAGAGCCAACCCUAGAGACAAGAAGUCCUGAGUUCAAAUCUGGCCUCAGACAUUUCCUAGCUGUGUGAUGCUGGACAAGUCACUUAAUCUCAAUUGUCUAGCCCUUACUGCUCCUCUGCCUUAGAACCCACACACAGUAUUGAAUGUAGAAGACAAAGUAAGGGUAAAAAAAAAGUGUUGAGGAAUAAACUGUAAAAAAGACUGAAAAGGUAGGAUGAGACUAUGUUAUGAAAGAUUUUGAAUGCCAAUAAGAGCAUUUUGUAUUUGAUUCUGAAAACAAUAGGGAGCCAAUAUAAUUUUUACAUGGAGGGGUGGGGUGAGUGACAUGGCUGGACCCAUAAUUUAGCAAAAUCAUCUUGGUGGCUGAAUAGAGGAUGGAUUAGAAUAGGGAGAGACUUGAGGAAGACAGACAUUCAAGCAGGCUUUUGCAAUAGUAUUGGUAUGAAUGGUGGCAAUAUCAGAGGAGAGAAUGGGCCAUAAAGGAGAGAUGUUGCUGUCCUUGGUAACAGUUUGGAUAUAGGGGGAAGAGAGAAUGAGACUUUGGGGAUAAUUCCUGGCUUGUGAGCCCGAGUCACUUGAAAUGAGGUUUGACACAAGAGGUGAGGAGGGAGCACAUUCUUUAUAUGGGGAUCAGUCAGUGCAAAGUUUGGAGUGUUGCAUGCAAGGAACAGUAAGAAGACACAUGGUUGGGUGGACCCUAGUGCUCAUAAAGGAGAAUAAUAUAUAUUAAAGCUGAAAAUGUGAAAUGAGGCCAUAUUGUAAAUGUCAAAUUAGUUUAAAUACUGGAGUUAAAUAAACACAUAAUUUGGUUUAAAUACUAAAAAGGGAGUUAAUAUUUCAACCUUCAAUGAAAAAGGAGUCCAUGGAGCUUAUUGAGUAGAAGAAAGACUUUGGUCAUUGAUCUGCACUUUAAGAAAGUCAUCUUGGCAACUAUAGAGAGAGUCUCAAGAUGGUGAACAAUGUGGAGGCCAAUGCAGUAGGACAGAGGAGAGGUGAACAAGACCUGCUCUGGGGUGGUAGACAGCAAGUUGAAUAUGUAGGAUAAGUAAACUUCAGACAAUAAGGUUGCAAACAUGGAUGAUUUAGAAGGGUUAGUCUGAAAAGGGGGUGUUAUUAGGAGAAAAAAUAACAAGUUCUGUUUAAACUGUUAAGUUAGAAUUAUCUAUAGGAUAUCUUAUUCAAUACAUAUGAUAGGUAGUUCAUGAUGCAUGAUCAGAGUUCAGGAGAGAGACUAUGGCUGUUGAUCAAUCUAAGAAUUCUUAUCAUGAAGCUAAUAAUUAAACCCAUGUUUAAUGAGGUCAUUGAAACAGAGUGUAGAGAAAGAAAAGGACCCAGAACAGAGCUUUGGGAGUACAACCAUGGUUAAAUGCCAAGAUAUGGAUGAUGACAAAAUAAUGGAGAUUGAGAAGAAGUGGGCAGGGAGUGAGGAGAGAGAGAGACAGACAGAGACAAAGAAACGGAGUGACAGAGAGGGAGAGAGACAGAGAGAGAUCACUAUGUCACAAAAGAGGAGAGAGUAUCUAAAAUAGUGAGUGAUGAAUAUUGAAAUGUUCAAGCAGAAUGAGAGUUGAAAAAAGACCCUCAGAGUGGACAUUGGUAAC